Molecule: long non-coding RNA, 72435 nt
Filed under: Hordeum vulgare
Lineage: Eukaryota; Viridiplantae; Streptophyta; Magnoliopsida; Poales; Poaceae
Description: long non-coding RNA (HVUL_LNC019994)
Source: RNAcentral
UGUCACAUCCAACCCAAACAGGCUCUUCUCCAAGAUAGUUAAGAAGGGUGAUGUAUUCGUAUUCCCAAAAGCAAUGAUUCACUUCCAAAUGAACCUGGCGCAUGACAAGCCAGCAGCCGCCUUGUCCUCGCUCAGCAGCCAAAACCCUGGGGUUAUUUCUAUCGCCAAUGCAGUCUUUGGAUCAAAGCCACCAAUUUCAGAUGAUGUUCUAGCCACGGCGUUUCAGGUGGAGAAGGAUCUGAUUCACUGGCUUCAAUCUCAGUUCUGGGAGAAUAACAACUACUAGAUACUCUCUUUCAUCUGGGCAUAUGGAAAGUUCAUAUGUAAUGCUAGUAUAUAGAAUAAAUGGCAUGUAGUAAUACGUAUGCAUGCAUGGUUGUGAGCUGUGAAUUUUCAUUUUCCUUUUGAAGCGUGACAUGAUAUGUUUCUUGUCGGAUUCAUGUCAGAAUGUGUUGGUGAUGAUUGUUUUCACUGUUUAAUGAAUGGAAUACAGAGGUGCUCCUUUGCCUUGUUGCUGAUAUAGAGAGAUCCGUGAUGUUAAUGACAAAGCAGCAAUGAUUGGACAUGCAUGUUAUUUCUAGACCCAGUUUACAUGUACUUAAAACUUGUUUUUGCCCGACAAGGUGAUUUGUUCACUGGAAACCAGGAAACGCAAACUUGUUCUGUGGCGAGAAAUCAUUUAGCAUGCUGGAAACUUAGAUGCCAUCGUUUAGCGGAUUAAGCAUCAUAGAUGGAAGAGCAGGGAUAUAGUUGUUAUGAUGUAGUUGCUCGCUAUCAAGUAUCUGCAUUCCCAAUAAUGGUUACAAGUAAACAAAAAAGAUGGGGCACAUGAUCGUAUUGGUUUCGCACCAAGAUUGGGCUAUACACCUAUUUAUAAUAUGGAGCGUCAUGGCAUGUGGAUUAUUAGUCCAGAUCUAUCUACAGAAUGGGUUUGGAUUAUUAGUCCAGACCUAUCUACAGCCUACAGGGCAACUCAAUUGGCAGUCUAUUCAGAAUCAUAUUCUUUCAAAGUUGUAAAUGCAUGCGCAGACACAAACUCUUGAUGGACAGAAGUUGCGGCAAUCUACGCGGGUUGUGUGGAUCUAUUAGUGGAGAUAUGGAGCGUUCAUUUUAAGCAUUGUGUGGAUCUAAUUGUGGAGAUACAGAGCGUUUUACAUGAAGCAAACUGUGCCGCUCAUGAGAUUGCUAGAUACAAUGGUUGUUUUUUUAGAAAUGCUAGAUAUAGUUUUGAAAGUAAGCUCUCUUGUAAGUGGGUCGAUGAAACCCCAUAUUUUAUCCUUAAUUCUCUUGUAAACAAUGUACGUGUUAUUUGAAAUCAAUAAAGUAAGCCAUGAUGGCGUCCGCUAUAGUUAGUCUUUUCAGAAGACCCUCUGAGAAGCCUCUUUAUAUAGGUGGCAAGGGGCCCCAUUAUACACAAAAAAUAUCAUUGAUCAAUAAAGUUGAGGAGUCUUCAGCUACAUUUUUGUGCUUCUUUUGUGCUUAUAUUUGGCGUAGUAACAUGAUCAUUACAUUAAAUUAUCGGUAUUACAGUACUUGGUAGUCACGUACACUCCCACACACUUGAUUGGAUUUUAUUUGGGAAUAAUCGCUUUGGUUUUUAUCUUGAUCUAUUGACACCGUUAUCAAAACAAUUGUUAUUGAUGAUCCUAAGAAAUAAAAACAAAGCAACAUGCAUUGAAGGGGUUAUUUCCACACAUGAGUUCACGUGACAAUAAUCUUUGAAUUAAUAAAUACGACAUACUUUGUACUGGGAAAGCAUUGUCGGUCCGUCAUCAAGAAUUGACCAUACUACUUAGUUCAGUCACGAAAGAGACCCGUAAUAAGUUAAUAAUAAUUGAGGAAAUCCAUUUCAUGCACCAACGCAAGUACGUGGAUCAAACACGUCUCCAUCAUUUGACCCGUCGCCAUUUUUUCUGUUAGUGGUUACUUGCACGCAAAUAAAUGCAGUUGUAGACUUGUAGUGUCGUACCGACAUCUGUUAGGUGGAUGCCAAACCAUAUUUAUAUGUUCUGAUGAGAAAAUUCUUACAACACAUACAUGUAGAGGAGAUGGUACAACCGUACAAACAUGCCAAAUUUCAGGGUCAAAACCUUAUGUUGAUCUCGUAAUCCGAGGUCAACACGCCAACACAUGAGUUGAUAGCUUCUUGCCCUGUGAGAGGUUGAUCCAAUCCAACAUGGAUAACGGAUUAUGCGGCACACGAUGAGGAAUUGAAAAUGAAAUGUUGACGACUGUUUAGUGUGUGGACAUUCAUAGUUCAUGUCAUCAUUUUUUUUAUUUUGCAGGGAAAAACUGAUUGCAUUAAGUAAACAUAGUACUCCCUUCCUACCAUCAUCUUAUAUUGUGCAACACAAUCAAGGUGGAGAGGAAAACGAGAGAAGAUAAUGUUCAUUUUGUUAAUCAAUAUUAUUACAUGCAAUGAACUCAUUACUGCAAGCCGUGUUAGGUAGUCUAAAGUCAUUAAACAUAUACAUGUUCCAUGUCUCUAAGUGGAAAUUAAUGCACCACGCUUAAGUGUUUUCGAAUUAUUUGGUUAUGCGGCACACGAUGCAGGAUUGAAAAUGAAAUGUUGACGAUAGCUUAGUGUGUGGACAUUCAUAGUUCACGCCAUCAUUUUUUUUGCGUGGAAAAACUGGUUGCAUUAAUUAAACACAGUAUUACAAUCAUUCUUUAUAACGCUAACCUUCCUAGUUUUGAAUAGUCCACAUUCAAUUCAGGUCUUCAAUUAGAAUUGGAUCACCUGAUUUUGACUAAGUCAAUAAUUUCUUAAAGCUCUUCCGUUCAAUUCUUUUAUACUAUACAAUGUGUUUCCUAAUUUUUAAAGUUGCACAAUUAAUUCAGGUAUUCAAUUUAGAAUUGGGCCAUCCGGUUUAGACCAGGUCAACAAUUUCUCAGGCUCUCUCAUUCAAUUCUUUUAGCUCACUAUCUUCCCUAAUUCUCUCAAGUUCAGAGCAUAUAUAUCAACAUCCCAAUGCUAAACAAAAAAGGUAUAGAAAUUCAUUUCACGAUGAAUCUAAAAAUAUUGAUUUGAUAUAUUUCUCUAUAAAUUUGAUCAAACAUAAAAGGGUUACAUAUUUGAAAAAGCAAUAGACCUUGUAUUUGGAAACAAAGUGAUUGUUUGUUAAAGAAAUUCGACAACACACCAACGGUGUAGCAAAGCGUGCCAAACCCUUCUAGUCUUGGAUGAAAUCACAAACUUUCGAAGGAAAAUUCCCUAGCCAACCAGUGGUGCGCUGCUUAUCCUAUUUGGCUCACCGUGUCCUAGGCAGUGCAAGGAGAGGUGAAACCGUGAAAGAGGUGUUACAUGUUACCCAAACAACUUUGAAGCUAAAUAUCUCGGGCUCUCGGUGCCGGAUGAGAGAGGAAUAAAUGAAAGUUCAAAAGCUUACACGAGAGACUAGCAAAGCGCCUGCUUCAAUGCAGGUGAAAUUUACCUUUCUCGAGAUGGGAAGGAGAUCAUGUUAAAGGCCGUCGUUGUGCAGGCACUACGAGUGUACGUGAUGGGUGUUUUCAAACUCCUAAUCGGGCUUUGUCAUGACCAAACAAAGAUGAUGACACACUAAUGGUGAUGUGCGGACAAUGAAAAAUGGCGGUCUCAUGGGAUCUCUUGUGACAUUAUGCACGGGUCAAAGGUGAUGGGAGGAGUGGGGUUCAAGAGUCAGCGGCUCCUUAAUCAAGCAUUGAAAACGGGGCUAGCAUACGGGCAUGGCAUGACCCCUGGAUCCCUUGCGGUGCAUCAUACAGAUCGAUUACCACACAACAUAAUUUUCAUCUGUGUUGGGUCAUGGAUUUCCAGAUGGUUGAUGAUUCAUGCAUGCCUUCAUGGAAUACUCAACUCAUAUAGUAACACUUCUUCAUUGUGGAUGUUGCAAAGAUUUUGAAUAUCAAACCAUUGAGGCGCCUUGAGGAAGACUUCAGGCCGAGUGAUUGCAGCCAUCAUGGGAGGGCAUCAUUCGGUGCUUCAAGUACAUCGGUGUGGUCGUGACAAGCGCCAUCCUGGGGUAAAUCACAAGUUCUACAAUGGCGGCUUCCCUCUCAUCUGAAGCACGCUUCUUUGGAGUGCUACUUGGGCCUCAACCUCAACCCCAUGUACAAGCACAGCGACGUAGGAUAUAGGAUACCUAAACGUUCAUUUUUUUUGAAACUGGCGGAACACCAUAUUCGUAGAUCAUCGAUUUAAUGACUUCAGCUCGAGGUUUUGAAUCAACUAUCGGAGCCGAUUUCAUCUCUUGAGUACAGUAUACUUUUGAAACAACCUUCUCACUUGUCAAUUACUCGUGUGGAGAUUUGGCGAGUUUCCGUUGUGAGGCCUUGGAGACCCUUCGAGCAUGACCAUAUGCAUGUGCCAUCGACGGUUACUGCUUACAGUUACAGGUGACGAUAUCAUGGUCGCAUCAACGGUAAUGAUAUGAGGUUGUCGUCGUCUCAAAUGUCCUAAAUUGUUUGGUAUAUUCUUGUCUUCUUAGCUGUUCUAUAGUCUCUUGCAUCCUUGGCGCUUUUAUUUUUCAGUUUUUUUAUUUUUAGUUUUGUAUUAAUGGAUGUAAUGUUUGGUUGUGGCUUUAUAUAUAAAGCCUUUAAUAAAAUAGCUUACAUGCGCCUCAGAAACAGGAAGCGAGCUAAGAAAAAGAAAUAGGACACGUUUGCUUACCCGCCUCAUCGAGGCCCGCACAGGAAGAAAAAGGAUCGUUUGGUUACCCUCAUUGACUGUUUGGCCUGCACAGUACGAACAUUAAAGCACCUUUGUUGAGUCAGGCCCAAGCGAUGCAACCCUAGGCACGUGGGCGUGGGCGGUUGCACGCAUGGAUGCAGCCUCGAGACGUCGCGUUAUUUCCCCAAUCGACGUCAUAAAUUACCCUCACCUCCCUUCGGGGGGGGGGCCCUCUUCCCCACUCACAUCAGCGAUGGCGAUCACCGGAGCGACAACACGAGGAUCUACGAUAGCAGCGACCAUCGCAGCGACUUCAGACCUCCGCCACAGCGCAUCGGCCAUGGCGGUAAGUCCUUUUCCCUAUCUACAUUGGCCAUGACUCGGGCUAGAUCUAUUUUGAGCACGGGAUUGGAGAAUUAGGGAGGGGAUUGAACACAUGGAGAUUGGGGAAUUGGAUUCAACACCGCCCUCAUCUUCAGUUCUUGGCUAAUCGAUCGAUUACAUCGGGGGUGGAGAUUGGGGUACUACCUAAUUUUCUAGCCACGAUGACCCUGGAGUCGCGUCGAGCGGUGGUGGGCGUAGGCUUCUUCUUUUCUUCGUCACCAUCGCAUUAUUCCUGACCGUCACAUCAAGAACGAUGGGUCUUGCACGGUCGCCUUCCGUCGACGCCUUGACCAUCAUUUGCACCUCGUUUUCUUCCACUGCUUGCGCCCUCGCCACCAUCUGCACAUCGCCGUCUUCCUCUGCUGGAUCCACCAAAGUCCUUGUCUUCCAGUACACCACAACACGGUGGUCAUCGGGACUAUCAUGAGGAAUAACUACGGGCACUACCAUGAGGAGGAUGGACCAAACCACUUCUGCAAGGUGAUAUUUGCUCUGAAGCUGGAGGCUCUGUCUUUGCAUCUCGACUUCAUGAAGCACUUCCCCGCUAUGUUUAGUCCUAAGACGAACACCAGCUGCUCAUGGAGUGUCACGGUGAAGGUGGUCGACAACGGGGUCACCCUUGAUCAGGGUUGCUCCACCUUCACCAGUGUUCACCACGUCGGGAUCGGGUACAAGCUGACUUUCAAGCUGCUCACCCCUAACACCAUGAAGGUGAUGCAGCGUGGACGUGGUCACCAAGUGCAAGAAACAUGACGAGGCCUUCACCGUGACCGCGUAAAUGACCUCUUGUUCCUAGUUCCGUGUUGUGGGUUGUUCUUUUAAGAGUACUAUGUGUUACGAUGUCGUUUAGAACUUAUCAUACUAUGUUUAAAAUUUUUGUUUGGUUAAACUUUGAUUUGUGCUUAAGUUUGUUUCGGUUGCUUUAUUUUUUUGCAUCUGAUAACCUCACCACAUUGAGGAGGAGGUUAGCACACUAUUGUACUAGAUGUAACCAAACAAUUCAACAUGUGUUUGACCUCAAACCAAGCCACAACCAAACAACAUGCCUUCUGUUUCGACAUAUGCAGGCUACACGGAAUGCAUGCAACCAAUCAACAUGCAGAUGUUGAUUUUUUUGCAUGCAUAUGCUCGACCAGGCCCAACUGGGGCAAGUAUGCAAAUGGCAAAAAAACGAUGCACGUAACCAAACGCGCCCAAAGUGAUCUCUCAAUCACAUCUUGUUUAUUUCAGAUCAAAACUGUCUCUUUCCAUUAGAUGAAGUGCUAUAUAUAGCAUUGGAGCAAGCGUUUACAAGGGGGCGCCAUUUCAGACAGAACCGACGCAAUGGUUGCGUAAAGCAUGUGCCAAUGAUUAUAACAAGUAGGGGUUAAUCCCUUAAUUGCUAUAUUAAUUAAUCUUAGCACUCCCCCUAAUCCAUGCUUGUCCAGGUAGCAUCAUCAUCUCGAAAGAGUCUCCUUUAAAAACCCUAUGGAAAAAAUAUGAGGAGUAUAUUAUUUGAUAAGUUGCCAACACUCCUUCAAACCCAGUGGAAAAAAUAAGGAGAAAAUGAUGCAACAUGUCAUCAUUAUUGUCUCUUUUAACUCAAUAUGAGAAAAUUGUAGAAUUUUGAGGAAAAUAAAUAUGGCGUAUAUACUUUAUUAAAACCCGAGUGGGGAAAACACAAAAUAUGACAUCUGGUCUUGUGUUGAUAUUACCUCAUUAAAAACCUUUACGAGAACCUAUAUAGUAAACUCAUGAAGGGAAAAAGAGUAUAAUAUGAUGCAUUGAACAGGAACAAUUCAGGAAGAUACUCCCCCUGAUUCUUGCAAACUUCGAAGCCGUGACAUACCAAUUCCAUGAACAUAUUUCUGGAAUGUAAAAAUUGGUAGAGACUUCGUGAGAAAAUCAGUCACAUGAUGUAAUUUACAAGAUAUGCAAGCGAUAUUGCUUACGUAACCUGUUUGCAUCCGGGCAACACAAGAAAUAUUAUAUUUGAGAUAAUAGUUAGUGGAUGUAGCCAUUAAGGUCGGUUGCAAAAAAUGUUAUGCAAUGACUAUCACACCUAGUAGGAACACUAAGCUUGCCUAUGAUAUGACAUAGUAGGGAUCUGAUCAAUGUAUCCAAUGGUAUUGGUGUUCAGAUUUAUCUGAAACUGAAAAACCAGGACAAGAUGUUUGAUACCUUUGGAGAUAUCAAUAGAUAUUCUUGAGUCCCAACAAAUUGUGUUUGGUGGAUCCAAUGGCAUUAUGAAACGUUGAGUCCCAAUAUCUGAUUUUCAUCAUCUCUUGGUUUAAAUAGAUCAUUCUCUGCGUCUAGAGAAUGAAUUACCAUGAGAGUUAUGGAUGGAUAAGAUUUGUCCACAAUGAAUUUCUCCAAUAUAUUUUGGAUAUAGACAACAUAGUAUACCAUAACGUAUGAAUGAAGGUGCUCAAGUUAUAGUAACGAGCGGUAUUUUGGUUUACCCAAAUCCUUAAUUUUAAUCUCCGUCAUUUAGAUGAUUACAUGUGUCGUCAGUACAAAGACACAAACAUGGAUAAUCAUCAUUGUAGGAGUAAUCCUUGUGUAUAAGGAACUCAUUACAUUAGUUGUACCGACAACAAUAAGUAGUAUGGUGACUUACUGAAUUUUACACAAUGUAUGUUACAUUUUGUACUUCAAUAGAAUUGAGAUUACAUCGGAAAUAUAUCAUAUAUGUCUGAAUCUAGUGAGCCACAUGGAUAUGUGAUCACUACAUCUAUCAACCGCAUAGAUAAAUGAUCUUAUAUUCUCAAUGAUACAAGUUGUCGGAAAGAAGUUCCACCUCUAGAGAAUAGUUGGGUAUCUGCAUGAACCCUUAUGCUACAAUACUUGCUCUAUGUUUCACAACCUUGUUGUUCUCAAUUCUGUUUCCAGAAGAAAACUGGUGUAGGUAUUGCUUAUGAAUACCUUCCCUUUAUUGAGCAAGAUUAUUUCUACCUAGAUUAUACCAUUUUCUUGAGUUCAGUUUGAGUGUUGUUCACACUUUGCCAUGCCCAUAGUCUUGGAUCUGAAUCAUUUGAAAGGUUUUUGAAAUCUAGUUGAGAAAUGUAUAUCGACAAUUGUAGACUUCUGGUUAUAUGUUUCUCUAGAAUCUAUAUAUCAAUAUAUAGUUGAUGGAAAUAUCGUUACCCAUGGUGACUGCUCGCGAUUUCCCGGUGCGAAUGAGUCGUGUAUUCCGAUGUCCCAGUCAUUAUGUGCAGUAUGACCUGGGUUAGUGGAGGUUUCCCAUCCACUUGGUAUACUACUCAUACGUAUCCAACGUAUCUACAAUUUUUUGAUUCUUCCAUGCUGAUAUAUUAUCAUUCUAGAAUACUUUUGGGGUAUUUAUUUACCAAUUUAUAUUAUUUUUGAGCACUAACCUAUUGAUCCAGCGACUACUGCCAGUUGCUAUUUUAUGCGUGUUUUUCACUUUUCAGGUUUUCCAUAGCAAACGAAGUCCAAUUGCCCUGAAAAUUUUUGGUGAUUUUUUCUGGACCAAAAGAAGACCAACGAGCAUCGGAAGAAGGUUGGAGGCCUCACAAGGGGCCCACAAACCAACAGGGCGCGUCAUGGGGGCGCGCCCUGAUGGCUUGUGCCUCCCUCAUGGCCCUCCCGACUCCGUUGUUUGGCUUAUAAAUUCUCAUAUACCCUAAAAACAUCAGAGGGAGUUCCGAAACACUUUCUACACCAUCGCAAGUCUCUGUUCCGAUGGGAGGCCAUCUGGAGUUCCAUUCCGACACCCUGCUAGAGGGGGAUUGAUCAUAGAGGGCCUCUUCAUCAACCUUUCUACCCUCAUGAUGAUAUGUGAGUAGUUCACCACACACCUACGGGUCCAUAGCCAGUACCUAGAUGGCAAUCUCUCUUUGUCUCUCUUUUAUCUUCAUUACAAUGACCAUCGCAACUUCGCUUUGAUCCAUAUAUAUGAUGUAAUUCCUUUCGUGCGAUGCAUUUGUUGGGGUCUGAUGAAUUGUGGGUUUACGUUCAAAUUAUUCGUGAUAAAUAUUUGAGUCUCCUCUGAAUACUUGUAUGAUUCUAAUGUGAAUGAUUAUGAUAGGUUCAUAAUUCUCUCCGAUCUAUUGAAAUAGUUUGGCCAACUAGAUCGAUAUUUCUUCGGUGAGAGAGGUGCCUUGUGGUAGGUUCAACCUCGCGAAUUUCUAUAUCCCAGUGACAUAAGGGGACAAGAUGCAUCUUUGUAUUGCCGCUACGAAGGAUAAAACGAUGGGGAUUAUUCAUAUUGCUUGAGUUUACUUUGUCUACAACAUGUCAUUUUCUCCAUGCAUUACUCUGUUUUACUUAAUACUCUAGAUGCAUGCUGGAUAUCGGUCGAUGAGUGGAGUAAUAGUAAUAGUUGCAGGGAGGAGUCGGCCUAUUUUUUAUGGACGUGAUGCAUAUAUACACAUGAUCAUUGCCGUGAAUAUUGCAUAACUAUCCGCUUUUCUGUUAGUUGCCCAACAGUAAUUUGUGUACCCAUCGUAUGCUAUUUUUCAUGAGAGAUGCCAUUAGGGGAAAGCUAUAUCUCCCGGGUCUAUUCAUAACUUAUUGAUAAAACCUUCAUUACCUUGCUUCCAUUUCAUUGUUUUAUGUUAUCUUGCUAUCUACAAUUGUCUACACACCUCACUUGCUUGCAAAUAACAAGACAAGAGGAUUGACAACCGAGUUGCCCGCGUUGGGUGCAAGUUAUUUGUUCUUUUGUGUGCAGCCGCUGAAGACGGUUGUGGUUGAUAUUCCUAUUGGUUCGAUAAACCUUGGUUUCAUAACUUAGGGAAAUACUUACCCACAUUGUGUUGUGAUAACCCGUUCCUCUUCACGAAAAACCCAACGUAGAUCACAAGUAUCAUGAAGGAUUUAUGGCGUCAUUGUCGGGGAAUAUCAUCACCAACUACCAAGUAACUCCACACAAAAUUUCAUUCACUUGUUUCCAUCUUUUUUUUGCUGUUCUAUUUAAUUUGUCUCAUAAAAAAAUANAUACAAAAAUAUUUACAUUUUCUUGUUUUGCUUCUCACUAGAUUGCAUCUUCGCUCUCUAGUUUUCUUGAAAGUUGUUAUCAUGUCUCAGUUUGAAAUUAGUGAUGCCUCCGCCUCUAGUGUGGGAACCCUUGAUUUGCCAACUUUAACUUACGAUGAGAAUGCUAAAGUAAAUUUUGAUGAAGUUUCUAAUGAAAAACUUGAUAAUCUUGCGAAUCAUGAUCCUCCUAAGGUAGAACCUAUUAUGCAAACUAAGAAACUCCGCAUAGGUGGUGGUAAUAUUAUUGGAAAGUGUGUUAUUCAAGAUUUUUUUCACUUGUGCAGGAUCAUUCCCUUUUAUAGGAGGUUUUGUUGUUGCUAGAACUACAAGUUAUGUGAAUGUCAUAUAUUUUCUUAUAGUACAAUCGGAGAGACAAUUUGUGCAUAUGCAUCCUUUUAUACAAUGGUUGUUCCUAGAAUUCUCUAAUAUCCAUGAAGCUAGCACUAAACAUCUAGCUACUUGUCACAUCCCUGGAUCCCUAACUAGGGUUUAGUAUUUGUGCUCAUGUUUUCUUCCAUUGCAUUCAAGAAAUUGAAACAAACUCCAAGAAGUGCUGAAACUCAAACCAAAAACCCUAGCCACUUCUAAUUCAAGGAAAAUUCAAAUCUUGUCAAAAUCAAUGAACCCAAAAUGGCCUUCUUUAAAGUUCAAUAUUUCUGAUAAAUAUUGAAAACAAGUUAUCAGGGGAGAAAACUAUUUUUAAGACAUCCUUGGCAUUUUAAAUUUAAUUCAGAAAGCCCCUGAAUUCAAACUUAAAUUUGAAUUCAAAUAUUUACAAGUUUCAAAACUGUUGCAAACCUCACGAGUAGUUGGCAAUAUUCCAACUAUCACUCCGGGCUAUUCAAAAUAAUUUUUGAACUAAUUUUGGAGCCAAUAUAAAUGGCAAAUCAAAUCAGCAACAAAACAGAAAACAAAAAUAGAAAAAAAUGGGAAAAACUUACCUGUCGCUCACCUGAGGAAGCCCAGCCCACAGGGGCAGGUUCGUCUUCUUCCUUCUGCCUUCUGGCAGAGGAGUGAACGCCCACGGUGACUCCUCCACCUCCUGCUUGCCGUGGCGCGCUCCGGUGCCCCCAGGACAGCGCGAUGGCGGGAAUGAGACCCCCGCACGCGUCCUUAUCUUCUCCCGUUCCCCAUUCCGCCCCCUCCUCUCGGCUUUCUUCCUUUCUUCUUGUGCCGCCAUGGACAGAGCUCAAGCUCGAGCUGCCCGAGCCCUCUAGCCACAGGAUACUUCCUCCGAGUGCUCCAUUUUCUCCGCCUCGUCGAGCUAGCCAUGUACGCCGAAGCAUUCGACCUCCCCAAGCUCUGGUGCGCCACAUCGCCGUCGUCUUCAACCUCCGGCCGUCGGCAAGCUUCUGUUGAUUCGACGUCCACAGCACCUCCCCGAGCCGUCUGAGCUUCCCAUCGCCUCCACCGUGAGCUUGCGCGUGUUUCCCCUCUUCUUCCCCCCAUUUUCCUGCAUGCUAGCCACUAGACCGACGAGCCCGAGCUCCGGCUGCUGCCUCAGCUCGUCGCUGGUGACCUCCGGUCAAUCCCAGUCCUUCCUGAAACCCAUAAUGGAUGAGGUCGAGCCUCGGGAUCCUCCCAGUGCUCUCGGCACUCGAUCCUGAGCACCACAUGCACCACAGUAAGUAAAGGUUGUGUGUUGAACCUGAUUUGGUAAAGGUACCGGUGAAAGGCUAUGUAGGAGUACAUGGCGGGUUGUUUCAUUGGAACCGUCCUUAGGAACUGAGUUCCGUGUAUGUAAUCCAAGACUAUAUACUACAACACGUUGGGAUACUUAAUUGACACUCACGACUUAUUAAUCGCUUAGUACUCGGUCCAGGAGUUGCAAGUAGUUUCUGGUGUUUAUAGUCAUGCUGGAGGCCGUGCGUAGCGCUGACCUUAGAAGUGGGAUAUGAUGCGGUAGGCAGUGGCACGGUGUACCAAGGGGCACCCGGAUGGUGGGCUUGGGAACCCUGCGCACAUCGUUUGGGGCCGUGGCGGAAACCUCGGCCGGACUUCCGUGCGGGUUACCCUCAGAUAGGCGAUAGACCUGGACUAAGUAUUAGCGUGGUUAACGGUCGUGGCCGACUCUCUCACUGGGCUUCCGCUUGGAGGUUGCCGAGGUGCAUGUCGUGCACAUGGCGAUAAGUGGCGAGAGCAUGUGUGAAGAAGUACACCCCUGCAGGGUUAUGAUCUAUUCGAAUAGCCGCGUCCACGGAUAUGGACUACUUGGAAGCAUAUGUUGUUCAUAGAUAACUUUAAUGGCUACUCAUAAAAUUGUCAAGAUAAGUGUGAGUGUCGUGGACGGCAUUUCCGUAUGGAGACGGAAUGAUUCCACGAUGGAGUAUUGUUGUGGUGUUAGUGGACUCAUGUGCGAGAAAUCAAGUUGUCAAAAUUAUUUAAAAAUGCAAGUUGUCUAGCCACGAGUCAAAUGUUGGCUUUCCGCAUGAAACCCCACAAUUCCUUAUUGAUACAUUGCAUGAGUAGAUAGCUUAUCCUAAAGUCUUGCUGAGUACUUUUGUACUCAUGUUUGCUUAAUAAUUGUUGCAGAGGUUGUUAAUGACCCUAAUGGAGGGUUCUACCUAGACAUCGACGAUGACGAGUAGCUGGGAUCUGGCCCUAGGGUGGGUCUGUAGAUAGUCAGGCCAUGUGCCUUUAUCUUUCCCUCUGUCUGUACUCAGACAGCUUUAAAUCUUCCGCUGGCUAGUAAGAUUGUGUGUAUGACUUGUGAUGAUGGGUCGUGAGACCCCUACUUUGUAAUAUUAUGUGUGUGGAUCUUCCGAGCCUUCUAAAUAAAGUUUGUAUGUUUAUGGUUAUGUUGUGAUGCCAUCGAUGUAUCUAUACAUAUCGGUAGGCCAUGCGUACGUGUGUUGUACUUGAUAUGUAUGGGGUUCGAUUACCUAGUCGUAGGCUUUAGUAGCAUUCCUUACAGGGAAAUGCCCCUUUGUGAUCCAACGAGCCAUGGUAGUUCGCUACUGCUCCGGACACAUUGGUUGACCAGCAUGUGUCCUUCUUAGCUAUUGUGUCUGUCCCCGUUGGGGAAAUUUUACCCGAUGUAAUGGAGUCCUUGUAGCUUGCUUCGACUUGUCUACAUUCGCUGGUGACCGACACCUGCUUUGCUGGGUCAUGUAUGCAUGUCCCUGUGUGGAACUGCCGCUUUGGUUUAUGACUAGACAUGUCGAUCCGGGUUCUUUGUCAUUGGAUUGCUAGCGACACAAUUGCAUACGCGAGUCAAAAGUCGCAAACGGUCCCGGCUAAGGUAAGGCUGCAACCGUGGGGAUAACCGUGUGUGAGACCGCAAAGAGAUGCGAUGUGUUACAGUCUGGAUUCCUAUGGCUUAGGAUCGGGGUCCCGACACUACUAUAUUCCUUUUCUAAAGAAUUUAGUAAUAUCAUACAAGAAGCUAGAGAUAUAUUUUCUCAUUUUAGGUUUGAUGGUGAUUUCCCACCCAUAGAGGGGAUUCUUUAUGAAUUGGAAGAAAUAAGAAAACUAAGAUCCAUAGACUAUCUUGCUUAUGAUGAGAACCUUAGAAAGAAGGUACCGCUUAAUGUCUUAGUUGAUAAUAUUUCUAAACACAAUGAUUAAUUUGCUAUAUCAAAACUUGGAUUGGAUUAUGAUCUUCAAACAAAAUUAAGGAAAUACCUCCAUAGGAAUUUAUACAAUGAGGAACUAACUAUCACUUAUGAAAAACCCAAGGGAGAGCCUCAUGUCCCCCCCCCCCAAAGUAGACCUUUCGGAUCCUAAUGUUGUGCUAUUUAACCCCUUCAAUUAUUUUUGCUAACCUAUCAUAAAUCUUGCUGCUCAAUAAAGGGAAUAUGAUUAUAGAAUGAUGGGUCAUUCUUAAAAAUAUGACAACACUUGAAACUAUGCAAUAUACCUAGCUAGGGGCAUAAAACAAUAGCGCUUGUUGGGAGGCAACCCAAUAGUUAUCUCUAUUUUUUCUUUUAAAUUUUUAUCAGUUUGCGAUAACAUGAUUAUUUCCUAUGUAAUUAUUAUGUUUCUAUGUUUAAUUACUGUUUGUACCAAGUAAAUCCUUUGGGAUGAUUUGCAUGAUGAGUAGAAUUAAUACGGUGCAAAAACAGAAACUUUGACGUCCACUACAGAAUAUCUCUGAUUUUACUAGAACGUAUUUUCAAGCUGAAAUUUUUACACGCUAUGAAUACGCAAAUUCGUUAGGUCGUCCUAAACUUUCAGAACUUUUGGAGUUACUUUAGUAUAGGUUCAUUACAAAUUACCACAGAUUGUUCUGUUUGAGUCACAUUCUGUUUUUGCAUGCGAAGUUUGCUUGUUUUGAUGAUGCUAUGAAUUGUAUCAGGGUAUAAGCCAUGGAAGAGUUAGGACACAGUACCCUAUGCUAAAAUAAAAUAAUAAUCAACUUGUAAGAGAACCUGAAAGUAUUUGAUAUGUUGCUGAUACUAACGGAUCUCACAAAGUUUUGUUGAGUUUUAUGUGAUUGAAGUUUUCAAGUUUUGGGUAUUGUCCUAAUGGACAAAGGAUUGAGGAUCAGCAAAAGCCUAAGCUUGGAAAUUCCCAAGGAACCCCAAUGUAAUAUUCCAGGAAGGCUCAAGCGUCUAAGCUUGGGGAUACCCCGAAAGACAUCCCCUCUUUUCGUCUCAAUCCAUCGGUAUGUUACUUUGGGCUAUAUUUUUACUCAUCACAUGAUAUAUUUUUACUCAUCACAUAAAAUCAUUGUUUGCUGGACACACCUAUCUUAGAGAUAGACCACGUCAUCACAAUUUGUUAGAAUACUCUAUGUGCUUCACUUAUAUCUUUUGAGCUUAGCAGUUGCUCUAGUACUUCACUUAUAUCUUCUCGAGCACGGUGGCAUGUAGAUUUUAUUGAAAUAUUAUGAUCUCGUUCUUCACUUAUAUUUGUUUGAGAGAUGAACAAAUAGUGACAGUAAUUUUCAUGGGUCAUAAGACUAGAUAAAAAAUAAUGAGUAUUCAAUGAGUGAUAAUUAAAACCAUCAUGUAGCACAUAUAGAGAAAUUAUGGGUUAAUGAUAUUGAUGUGGUGAUAUGGAAAAGGUAAGAGUGCAUUAUUAUUAAUUCAGAAAGGUGUAGAUAUUAAUAGAUGUUAAACUUUGUGCUCAUCUAAAAUAUUAAAAGGGCAUGGUGAUGAUGUGUGAACAUUUCUAUUCCUCGCUGAAAUCCUAGCGUUGUUUUUAGUCGAAGACGCACGAUGGUUAAUUCCUACCAACCCUCUCCCUCAGGGCAUGCGAGUAGUACUUUGACUUGUGAUAAAACUAAUAAAACUUUCCAACAAGUAUAUGAGUUCUUCUUGACUAAUGUGACACCAUGGACAUAUGCAAUCUCACCUCCUCUUAAUUGCUAGCCUCUUCGGUAUCGUGCAUCGCCCGUUCUCACCUUGAGGGUCGGUGCGACUUUCGCCAGUGUAUCCCAACCCCGUGACAUGACACGCACUGUUGCACAUAAACCUUUUUAUAUACUCCUCAAAACAGCCACCAUAACUACCUAUCAUGGCAUUUUCGUAUACAUUCCGAGAUAUAUUGUUAUGCAAAUGUCACCGUCACUUCACAUGACUAGUUCGUUCAUAAUCAUAAUGCUUUGCAUGAUCAUAUAGAGAUGACAUAGUAACCAGUAGCAACAAAGUGACAACAGUAGAAGCAAAGUAACAGCAGUAGCGGCAAAGUAACAGUAGCAGCAGUGACAGCAGUAGCGGCAAAGUAACGUAGCAAGGACCAGUAGGAAAAAAACUCGUAGGCAUUAGAUCGGUGAUGGAUGAUUAUGUCGGAUGUUAGUCAUCAUGCAACAGCUAUAACACGGAGAGAUAUGUAACUAGCUCCAGUUCAUCAGUGUAAUGUAGGCAUGUAUUCCGUAUGUAGUCAUACGUGCUUAGGGAAAAGAACUUGCAUGACAUCUAUUGUCCAUCCCUCCCGUGGCAGAGGGGUCCUAAUGGAAACUACGGGAUAUUAAGGUUCUCCUUUUAAUAAAGAACCGGACCAACGCAUUAACACUUGGUGAAUACAUGAACUCCUCAUACUAUGGUCAUCUCCGGGAGUGGUUCUGGCUGUUGUCACUCCGGGGUUGCCGGGUCAUAACACAUAGUAGGUGACUACAACUUGCAAGAUAGGAUCAAGAACACACAUAUAUUGGCGACAACAUAAUAGGUUCAGAUCUGAAAUCAUGGCACUCGGGCCCUAGUGACAAGCAUUAAGCAUGGCAAAGUAGUAGCAACAUCAAUCUUAGAACAUAGUGGAAACUAGGGAUCAAUCCCCGUCAAAACUAACUCGAUUACAUGAUAGAUCUCAUCCAACCCAUCACCGUCGAGCAAGCCUACGACGAGAUUACUCACGAACGGUGAAGAGCAUCAUGGAAUUGGCGAUGAAGGAAGGUUGGUGAUGACGCUGGCGACGAUUUCCCCUCUCCGGAGCCCAGAACGGCCUCCAGAUCUGCCCUCCAGAGGAAGAACUGGAGGUGGCGGCGCCUCCGUAUUGUAAAACGCAAUGAACUCUUCUCCUUGAUUUUUUCGGACGAAAAGGACUAAAUAGACCUGAGAUUGGAAGCGAUGGAGCAAUGGGCCCCACAAGCCUGCCAGACGUGGCCAGGGGGGCCCACGCCUGGUGGGCUUGUGGGCUCCAUGAUCCACUUUCUCCGUUGAUUCUUGCGCCAGUAUUUUUCAUAUAUUCCACAAAAAUUCUUCGUAAAUUUUCAGGUCAUUCCGAGAACUUUUAUUUCUGCGCAAAAACAACACCAUAGAAAUUCUGCUGAAAACAGCGUUAGUCCGGGUUAGUUCCAUUCAAAUCAUGCAAAUUAGAGUCCAAAACAAGGGCAAAAGAGUUUGGAAAAGUAGAUACAACAGAGACGUAUCAACUCCCCCAAACUUAAAACCUUGCUUGUCCUCAAGCAAUUCAGUUGUCAAACUGAAAGAGACAAAAGGAAAACUUUUACGAACUCUGUUUGAUCUUGUUGUUGCAACUAUGUCUAACUCAUAUCCAGAAUUUCAGCAAGAUCACAAGCUAACCACAUAAGCAAAUGACAUCUAGGUCUCACGGUAAACUCAUAUCAAUGGCAUAAUCAACUAGCGAGCAAAUAAUAAUAAGUCUCAAACGUCAACACUUCAAUCAAAACAAUCAUGAAGCAGUACGAAUAGAUGGUAUCUCUCUAGCUCUUUCUGAGACCACAAAACAUAAAUGUAGAGCACCUUCAAAGACCAAGGGCUGACUAAACAUUGUAUUUCAUGGCAAAAAAGAUCCAGUCACAGUCAUACUCAAUCACAGUUAAAAGCAAAGCAUAAAAAUGACAGAGGUGCUCUCUAAUUGGUGCGUUUAUAAGAAGAGGAUGACUCAACAGGAACAUAAAUAGAUNNNNNNNNNNNNNNNNNNNNNNNNNNNNNNNNNNNNNNNNNNNNNNNNNNNNNNNNNNNNNNNNNNNNNNNNNNNNNNNNNNNNNNNNNNNNNNNNNNNNUAGUGGUAUAUAUAGUUUAGUUGGUAGGUUAGUUAAUUAGUAGAUUUAGUGGUAGUUUAGUUAGUUGGUAGAUUAUGUUUAGUUAGUUGGUAGUUUAGUUAGUUGGUACAUUUAGUUAGUUAAUUAGUAGAUUUAGUAGGUAGUUUAGUGGUAGAUUGUGUUUUGUUAAUUAGUGGUAGCUAGAUUGUCUUUUAGCUACUUAGUGGUAGAUUCUGUUUUUGUUAUUUUGUUGUUGUUUAGUGCUAUAUAGGUUUAGCGAUAGGUUUAGUGCUAGUUUACGUAGAUAAGGGAAGAAUAAUAAGNNNNNNNNNNNNNNNNNNNNNNNNNNNNNNNNNNNNNNNNNNNNNNNNNNNNNNNNNNNNNNNNNNNNNNNNNNNNNNNNNNNNNNNNNNNNNNNNNNNNNNNNNNNNNNNNNNNNNNNNNNNNNNNNNNNNNNNNNNNNNNNNNNNNNNNNNNNNNNNNNNNNNNNNNNNNNNNNNNNNNNNNNNNNNNNNNNNNNNNNNNNNNNNNNNNNNNNNNNNNNNNNNNNNNNNNNNNNNNNNNNNNNNNNNNNNNNNNNNNNNNNNNNNNNGAAGAUGAAGAAGAAGAAAAUGAAAUCCCGACACCACGACACCUGACACGAUGCCCCGAAUCCUCGACACGACGCCCCGACACGACAUCUCGACGACUCCCCGACACGAAAUAUUUUUUAUGGAUCCUAGAUGACAUCUAUAUAGGUCAUAUAUUUGUGUUAGGUCAUAUAUUUUUCGAUUUUAUUAAUGAACACAAAAUAUUUGUGUUCAACGGGUGGAUUUACAUGUCACAGUUGUCUCGCUGCUGUCAGGUCUGCUGUCCGAAGACCUCCCCGUGCGUUCUACGAGCUCCGCCCCUGCAUUUGUGGGUGAGUACAAAUGUCAUAUCCUCCUCGCCCCUUCAUUUUUGGUGGGUCGGUCUUCAGAUGAAACUUGCUAGAUAUAGGUAAUUAAAUUAAUUUAUCAGUAUGCGUGACCAGUAUGUGUUUGCCAUUCGAAAGGGUUACAGUUAUAAAUAUGCAUGUAUUUGCAUAUAUUUAUAACCGCGAUUCUUCCGAAUUGUCCAACGUUAUACAUGGACAACCCGAGUAUGUGUAGAUUGGGUUCAUUUUCCCAUAUGCUUUGUUCCGGAUCCGAUGCAUAAUUUCGUCAGUGCCUCCCUCUUGUUCUCCGGAUACACAUCCUCUCUGUUUAUUAUGGAGACGUGUAUCAGGAGAACAACGGGGAGAUCCUACCGAAAUUUUGCGUUGGAUCCGGAGUAGGGCAUGGGAAAAUGGACCCAAUCUACACAUACUCGGGUGGGAUUAGGACCUAUCUUUACCUAUUAGCGCGUAGGUUGCAUUGACGUAAUAAAACUGGCGAACUUGAUUAACUGAUGAAUAUAUAUGCUGAAUUAUAUAUAAAUAUAUUUCUUGUGUGUUUAGUAACUAGGCAAGAUGAGUGUGUUGGAAAUAUGCCCUAGAGGCGAUAAUAAAAUGGUUAUUAUCAUAUUUCCUUGUUCAUGAUAAUCGUCUAUUGUUCAUGCUAUAAUUGUAUUAACAGGAAACAGUAAUACAAGUGUGAAUAAAUAGAUCACAAUGUGUCCCUAGCAAGCCUCUAGUUAGCUAGCUCGUUAGUCAAUAGAUGAUCAUGGUUUCCUGAUCAUGGGCAUUAGAUGUCAUUGAUGACGGGAUCACAUCAUUGGAGAAUGAUGUGAUGGACAAGACCCAAUCCUAAGCAUAGCACUAGAUCAUAUUGUUGGUAUGCUAAAGCUUUUCUAAUGUCAAGUGUAUUUUAUUUCAACCGUGAGAUUGUGCAACUCCCGGAUACCGUAGGAGUGCUUUGGGUGUAUCAAACGUCACAACAUAACUGGGUGACUAUAAAGGUGCACUACGGGUACCUCCGAAAGUGUCUGUUGGGUUGGUACGAAUCGAGAUCGGGAUUUGUCACUCCGUGUGACGGAGAGGUAUGUCUGGGCCCACUCGGUAGAACAUCAUCAUGAGCUCAAUGUGACUAAGGAGUUAGUCACAUGAUGACGUGCUACGGAACGAGUAAAGAGACUUACCGGUAAUGAGAUUGAACAAGGUAUAGGUAUACCGGCGAUCGAAUCUCGGGCAAGUUCUAUACCGACAAACAAAGGGAAUCGUAUACGGGAUUGAUUGAAUCCUUGACAUCGUGGUUCAUCCGAUGAGAUCAUCGUGGAGCAAGUGGGAGCCACCAUGGAUAUCCAGACCCCACUGAUGGUUAUUUGUCGGAGAGGCGUCUCGGUCAUGUCUGCCUGUCUCCCGAACCCGUAGGGUCUACACACUUAAGGUUCGAUGACACUAGGGUUAUAGGGAAUUUUUAUACGAGGUUACUGAAAGUUGUUCGGAGUCUCGGAUGAGAUCCCGGACGUCACAAGGAGCUCCUAAAUGGUCCGAAGGUAAAGAUUGAUAUAUAGGACGGAUGGUUUGGGACACCGGAAGUGUUUCGGGCAUCACCGGUAACGUACCGGGACCACCGGGACCAUCGGAGGUGGCCCCGGGGAUCCACCGAAGGGUGGCAACGACCCCGGGAGGUAAGAUGGGCCAAGUGGGGAAGGGAACCAGCCCCUAGGUGGGCUGGUGCACCUCCCCACUCAGCCCAAUGCACAGGCGAGAGGGAAGGGGGGGGCAAACCCUAAGCCAGGUGGGCCUAAGGCCCACCAGGUGGUGCGCCACCCCCUCCCACCCUAGCCGCCGCACCUGUUUCCCAUCUGGUGGCUGCCACACCACCUAGGGGGGAACCCUAGGGGUGGCGCACCCCCCUCCCCCUCCUCCUAUAAAUAGAGAGGGGUUUUGGCCCUUGGGAGAUAGACUUUUCCCUCUCUCUCGGCGCAGCCCUACCCUUCUUCCUCCUCCUCUCUGUCGGUGCUUGGCGAAGCCCUACCAGGAGACCUCGUCUCUCCAUCGACACCAUGCCGUCGUGCUGCUAGAGUUCUUCCCCCAACCUCUCCCUCCUCCUUGCUGGAUCAAGGUGCGGGAGACGUCACCGGGCUGCACGUGUGUUGAACGCGGAGGUGUCGUAGUUCGGCACUAGAUCGGAAUCGCUGCGAGUACGACUCCAUCAACCGCGUUCUAGCAACGCUUCCGCUUAGCGAUCUUCAAAGGUAUGAAGAUGCUCUUACCCCUCUCUCGUUGCUGGUCUCUCCAUAGGAAGAUCUGAAUAUGUACGUAACCCAACAGUGGCAUCUGAGCCAGGUUUUCUAUGCGUAGAUUCUAUGCACGAGUAGAACACAAAAGUUGUGGGCGAUGAUUUGUCAAUUUGCUUGCCGCUACUAGUCUUAUUAUUUUCCGGCGGUAUUGUGGGAUAAAGCGGCCCGGACCGACUUUAGACGUACGCUUACGUGAGACUGGUUCCACCGACAGACAUGCACACCGUGCAUAAAGGUGGCUAGCGGGUGUCUGUCUCUCCUACUCUAGUCGGAUUGGAUUUGAUGAAAAGGGUCCUUAUGAAGGGUAAAUAGCUUUGGCGUAUCAUCAUUGUGGCUGUCACGUAGGUAAGAAGGCGUUCUUGCUAGAAACCCAAAUCAGCCACGUAAAACUUGCGACAACAAUUAGAGGACGUCUAACUUGUUUUUGCAGGGUUUGACAUGUGAUGUGAUAUGGCCAAAGUUGUGAUGUUGCAUGUAUGAUGUAUCAGAUGAUCAUGUUAUUGUAAUAGGUUUCACGACUUGCAUGUUGAUGAGUAUGAAAAUCGGCAGGAGCCAUAGGAGUUGUCUUAAUUUAUUGUAUGAGAUGCAACGCCAUGUGCUUACUACUUUUACUUCAUUGCUAAUGGUUAGCUAUAGUAGUAGUGAUAGUAGUAGUUGGCGUGACGACUUCAUGGAGACAUGAUGAUGGAGAUCAUGGUGUCACGCUGGUGACGAUGAUGAUCAUGCGAUGCCUGAAGAUGAGAUCGAAAGGGCGAAGAUGAUAAUGGCCAUAUCAUGUCACUAUAUGAUUGCAAUGUGAUGUUUAUCAUGUUCUACAUCUUAUUGCUUAGAACGACGGUAGCAUAAUAAGAUGAUCCCUCUUAAAAUUUCGAGAACGUAUUACCUUAAGUGUGCAUAGUUGCGAAGGUUCAUUGUCUCGAAGCACCACGUGAUGAUCGGGCGUGAUAGAUUCUAACGUUCGCAUACAACAGGUGUAAGCCAGAUUUACACACGCGAAACACCUAGGUUGACUCGACGAGCUUAGCAUGUACAGACAUGACCUCGAAUACAAGAGACCGAAAGGUCGAACAUGAGUCGUAUGGUUGAAUACGAUCAUCAUUAAGUUGCUCACCAUGGUGACUAGUCCGUCUCACGUGAUGAUCGGACACGGGUUAGUCAACAUGGAUCAUGUAUCACUUAGAUACCUAGAGGGAUAUCGAUUUAAGUGGGAGUUCAUACUUAAUUUGAUUAAAUGAACUUAAUUGUCAUGAACUUAGUCUAAAAGUUGUCUUUAUAAAUAUUGUAGAUGGCCAACGUCAACCUCAAUUUCAACGCAUUCCUAGAGAAAAACAAGCUGAAAGAUGAUGGUAGCAACUAUGCGGACUGGGUUCGCAACUUGAAGCUCAUCCUUGAAGCAGCUAAAAAGGCUUGUGUCCUUGAUGCGCCGCUAGGUGACCCUCCCGCUCCCGCAGCAGCCGAGGACAUUCUGAACGUCUGGCAAGCGCGGAGUGAUGACUACUCUCUCGUUAGGUGUGGCAUGUUAUAUAGUUUAGAAACGGGGCUCCAAAGGCGUUUUGAGCAACACGAAGCAUAUGAGAUCUUCCAAGAGCUAAAGCUAGUUUUUCAAGCUCAUGCCCGUGUCGAGAGAUAUGAAGUCUCCGACAAGUUCUUUAGAUGUAAGAUGGAGGAGAACAGUUAUGUCAGUGUGCACAUACUCAAAAUGUCUGGGUUACACGAUCGUCUGACUUCACUUGAAGUCGAACUUCCGGAUGAUGCUAUAAUUGACAGAAUCCUCUAGUCUCUCCCACCAAGCUACAAAGGCUUUGUGCUUAACUACAACAUGCAAGGGAUGGAGAAGACCAUUCCCGAGUUGUACUCGAUGCUCAAGUAUGCAGAAGUAGAAAUCAAGAAAGAGCAUCAAGUGUUGAUGGUCAACAAGACCACUAGUUUCAAGAAAGGCAAGGGUAAGAAGAACUUCAAGAAAGACGGCAAAGCUGUUGCCGCGCCCGGUAAGCCAGAUGCCGGGAAGAGGAAAAAGAAUGGACCCAAGCCUGAGACUGAGUGCUUCUAUUGCAAGGGAAAGGGUCACUGGAAGCGGAACUGCCCCAAAUACUUAGCGGACAAGAAGGCCGGCAACGUUAAAGGUAUAUGUGAUAACAUGUUAUUGAUGUGUACCUUACCAGCGCUCGUAGUAGCUCCUGGGUAUUUGAUACCGGUGAUGUUGCUCACAUUUGCAACUCAAAGCAGGAACUGCGGAAUAAGCGGAGACUGGCCAAGGACGAGGUGACGAUGCGCGUCGGAAAUGGUUCAAAGGUCGAUGUGAUCGCCGUCGGCACGCUACCUCUAGAUCUACCGUCGGCAUUAGUCUUAAACCUUAAUAAUUGUUAUUUAGUACCAGCUUUAAGCAUGGACAUUGUAUCAGGGUCUUGCUUAAUGCGAGACGGCUAAUCAUUUAAGUCAGAGAAUAUUGGUUGUUCUAUUUAUAUGAGUGAUAUGUUUUAUGAUCAUGCUCCGCUGGUGAAUGGUUUAUUCUUGAUGAAUCUCGAUCGUGAUGUUACACAUAUUCAUAGUGUGAGUACCAAAAGAUGUAAAGUUGAUAAUGAUAGUCCCACAUACUUGUGGCACUGCCGCCUUGGUCAUAUCGGCGUUAAGCGCAUGAAGAAGCUCCAUACUGAUGGACUAUUAGAGUCUCUUGACUUUGAAUCAUUUGACACAUGCGAACCGUGCCUCAUGGGCAAGAUGACUAAGACUCCAUUCUCAGGAAUAAUGGAGAGAGCAACCGACUUAUUGGAAAUAAUACAUACUGAUGUGUGUGGUCCAAUGAACGUUGAAGCUCGCGGUGGCUGUCGUUAUGUUCUCACUCUCACCGAUGAUUUGAGUAGGUAUGGGUAUAUCUACUUGAUGAAGCACAAAUCUGAGACAUUUGAAAAUUUCAAGGAAUUUCAGAGUGAGGUCGAGAAUCAACGUGACAGAAAAAUCAAGUGUCUACGAUCUGAUCGUGAAGGAGAAUAUUUGAGUCACGAGUUUGGCACACACCUAAGGAAGUGUGGAAUCGUUUCACAACUAACGCCGCCUGGCACACCGCAACGCAACGGAGUGUGUGAACAUCGUAAUCGCACUUUAUUAGAUAUGGUACGAUCUAUGAUGUCUCUUACCGACUUACCACUAUCAUUUUGGGGAUAUGCAUUAGAAACUGCAGCAUUCACUUUAAAUAGGGUACCGUCUAAAUCCGUUGAGACGACACCGUAUGAACUAUGGUUUGGCAAGAAACCUAAGUUAUCGUUUCUUAAAGUUUGGGGCUGCGAUGCUUAUAUGAAGAAACUUCAACCAGAAAAGCUCGAACCCAAAGCGGAUAAAUGCGUAUUCAUAGGAUACCCUAAAGGAACUAUUGGGUAUACCUUCUAUCUUAGAUCCGAAGGUAAAACCUUUGUUGCCAAGAACGGAUCCUUUCUAGAGAAAGAGUUUUCUCGAAAGAAGUAAGUGGGAGGAAGGUAGAACUUGAUGAGGUAAUUACACCCCCUCUCGAACAGGAUAGUAGCGCAGCGCGGGAAGUUGUUCCUGUGGCGCCUACACCAACUGAGGAGGAAGUUAAUGAUGAUGAUCAUGAAGCUUCGAAUCAAGUUACUACUGAACCGCGAAGGUCCACAAGGGCACGCUCUGCACCAGAGUGGUACGACAACCCUGUGGUGGAGAUCAUGUUGUUAGACAACCGUGAACCUUCGAACAAUGAAGAAGCGAUGGCGGCCCGGAUUCCAACAAAUGGCUUGAGGCUAUGAAAUCCGAGAUAGGAUCCAUGUAUGAGAACAAAGUAUGGACUUUGGUGGACUUGCCUGAUGACCGGCGAGCCAUAGAAAAUAAAUGGAUCUUCAAGAAGAAGACUGAUGCAAACGGUAAUGUAACCGUUUACAAAGCUCGACUUGUCGCAAAGGUUUUUCGAGAAAUUCAAGGAGUUAACUACGAAGAGACUUUCUCUCCCGUAGCGAAGCUGAAAUCAGUCUAAAUCAUGUUAGCAAUUGCCGCCUUUUAUGAUUAUGAAAUUUGGCAAAUGGACGUCAAAACAGCGUUCCUUAACGGGAACCUUAAGGAAGAGUUGUAUAUGAUGCAACCAGAAGGUUUUGUCGACCCUAAGGGUGCUAACAAAGUGUGCAAGCUCCAGUGCUCCAUCUAUGGGCUGGUGCAAGCAUCUCCGAGUUGGAACAUUCGCUUUAAUGAGGUGAUUAAAGCGUUUGGGUUCAUACAGGUUUACGGAGAAACCUGUCUGUAUGAGAAAGUGAGUGGGAGCUCUGUAGCUUUCCUCAUACUGUAUGUGGAUGACAUAUUAUUGAUGGGGAAUAAUAUAGAGAUGUUGGAGAGCAUAAAGGCCUAUUUGAACAAGAGUUUUUCAAUGAAGGACCUUGGAGAAGCUGCAUACAUAUUAGGCAUCAAGAUCUAUAGAGAUCGAUCGAGACGCCUCAUAGGUCUUUCGCAAAGCACAUACCUUGACAAGAUAUUGAAGAAGUUCAAUAUGGAUAACUCAAAGAAAGGGUUCUUGCCAGUUUUGCAAGGUAUGAGAUUGAGUAAGACUCAGUCGCUGACCACGGCAGCAGAAAGAGAGAAGAUGAGUUAUGUCCCCUACGCUUCAGCCGUGGGCUCUCUAAUGUAUGCCAUGCUGUGUACCAGACCUGAUAUAAACCUUGCCAUAAGUUUGGUAGGGAGGUACCAAAGUGAUUCCGGUAUGGAACACUGGACAGCGGUCAAGAAUAUCCUUAAGUACCUGAAAAGGACUAAGGAAAUGUUUCUCGUUUAUGGAGGUGACGAAGAGCUCGUCGUAAAGGGUUACGUCGACGCUAGCUUCGACACAGAUCCGGGUGACUCUAAGUCACAGACCGGAUACGUAUAUGUGUUGAAUGGUGGGGUAGUGAGCUAGUGCAGCAGCAAGCAAGAAGUCGUGGCAGCAUCUACAUGUGAAGCGGAGUACAUAGCUGCUUCAGAAGCAACUCAUGAAGGAAUUUGGAUGAAGGAGCUCAUCACCGACCUUGGAGUGGUUCCAAGCGCGUCGGGUCCAAUGACACUCUUCUGUGAUAACACUGGGGCCAUUGCCAUAGCCAAGGAGCCCAGGUUUCACUGGAAGACGAAGCACAUCAAAUGCCGCUACAACUCCAUCCAGGACCAUGACCAGAGUGGAGUGAUAGAUAUUUGUAAAGUACACACGGAUCUGAAUGUUGCAGACCCGUUGACUAAACCUCUUCCACGAGCAAAACAUGAUCAACACCAUAAUGCUAUGGGUGUUCAAUACAUCACAAUGUAACUAGAUUAUUGACUCUAGUGCAAGUGGGAGACUGUUGGAAAUAUGCCCUAGAGGCAAUAAUAAAAUGGUUAUUAUCAUAUUUCCUUGUUCAUGAUAAUCGUCUAUUGUUCAUGCUAUAAUUGUAUUAAGAGGAAAGAGUAAUACACGUGUGAAUAAAUCGAUCACAAUGUGUCCGUAGCAAGCCUCUAGUUAGCUAGCUCGUUAGUCAAUAGAUUAUCAUGGUUUCCUGAUCAUGGGCAUUAGAUGUCAUUGAUGACGGGAUCACAUCAUUGGAGAAUGAUGUGAUGGACAAGACCCAAUCCUAAGCAUAGCACUAGAUCGUAUUGUUCAUAUGCUAAAGCUUUUCUAAUGUCAAGUGUCUUUUCCUUCGACCGUGAGAUUGUGCAACUCCCGGAUACCGUAGGAGUGCUUUGGGUGUAUCAAACGUCACAACGUAACUGGGUGACUAUAAAGGUGCACUACGGGUACCUCUGAAAGUGUCUUUUGGGUUGGUACGAAUCGAGAUCGGGAUUUGUCACUCCGUGUGACAGAGAGGUAUCUCUGGGCCCACUCAGUAGAACAUCAUCAUGAGCUCAAUGUGACUAAGGAGUUAGUCACACGAUGACGUGCUACGGAACGAGUAAAGAGACUUACCGGUCACGAGAUUGAACAAGGUAUAGGUAUACCGACGAUCGAAUCUCGAGCAAGUUCUAUACCGACAGACAAAGGGAAUCGUAUACGGGAUUGAUUGAAUCCUUGACAUCAUGGUUCAUCCGAUGUGAUCACUGUGGAGCAAGUGGGAGACACCAUGGGUAUCUAGACCCCGCUGAUGGUUAUUGGCCGGAGAGGCGUCUCGGUCAUGUCUGCUUUUCUCCCGAACCCGUAGGGUCUACACACUUAAGGUCCGAUGACGCUAGGGUUAUAGGGAAUUGUUAUACGAGGUUACCGAAAGUUGUUCGGAGUCCCAGAUGAGAUCCCGGACAUCACGAGGAGCUCCGUAAUGGUCCGGAGGUAAAGAUUGAUAUAUAGGACGGAUGGUUUCGGACACCGGAAGUCUUUCGGGCAUCAUCGGUAACGUACCGGGACCACCGGGACCACCGAAGGGGGCAACGACCCCGGGAGGUAAGAUGGGCCGAGUGGGGAAGGGAACCACCCCUAGGUGGGCUGGUGCGCCUCGCCACUCUGCCCAAUGCGCAGGGGAGAGAGAAGGGGGGGGCAAACCCUAAGCCAGGUGGGCCUAAGGCCCACCAGGUGGUGCGCCACCCCCUCCCACCCUAGCCGCCACCCCCCUUUCCCAUCUGGUGGCUGCCGCACCACCUAGGGGGUAACCCUAGGGGUGGUGCACUCCCUCCACCUCCUCCUAUAAAUAGAGAGGGGUUUUGGCCCUUGGGAGAUAGACUUUUCCCUCUCUCUCAGCGCAGCCCUGCCCUUCUUCCUCCUCCUCUUUGUCGGUGCUUGGCGAAGCCCUGCCGGGAGACCUCGUCUCUCCAUCGACACCAUGCCGUCGUGCUGCUGGAGUUCUUCCCCAGCCUCUCCCUCCUGCUUGCUGGAUCAAGGUGCGGGAGACGUCACCGGGCUGCACGUGUGUUGAACGCGGAGGUGCCGUAGUUUGGCACUAGAUCGGAAUCGCUGCGAGUACGACUCCAUCAACCGCAUUCUAGCAACGCUUACACUUAGCGAUCUUCAAAGGUAUGAAGAUGCUCUUACCCCUCUCUCGUUGCUGGUCUCUCCAUAGGAAGAUCUGAAUAUGCGUAGGAAAAUUUUGAAUUUAUGCUACGUAACCCAACAGAGUGAUCGUGCGUGGAUGUACACGGGUCACCCUAGUCAGAAAGAGAUGAUGAAAGAAUGGUUUCUAAAAACCAAGGAGUUUGUGAAAGCCGCAUUUGCAAAUGUGCAGGAAACAAACUGGUGCCCUUGUCCUGAAUGCGACAACUAUAACAAAAGGACAGAUGCUGUAAUGAUUAAACACCUGCAGAGGAGGGGUUUUAAGCCUAAUUAUACGGUUUGGACAUUUCUUGGUGACUCUAUACAACGCACUAGAGCUGAGGUGGUUCAUCGUCGCACCGACGAGCAUGGUACCGGGAUCGAAGACAUGGUGCAAGACUUUGAUGAUGCUCGGGAUUCGGCAGAUGAGAUGGAGGAAUCUGCAAAGGCCUUCUAUGAAAUGUUGGAGUCUUCAAAACGUCCUCUCCAUGAGCACACUGAGCUUUGUCAGUUGGAUGCCAUUGCACAAGUAAUGGCUCUGAAGGCUCAGUUCAACUUGGGAAGAGAAUCCUAUGACGCGAUGAUGACACUAUUUGGACGCUUUCUACCCAAAGGCCAUGUCAUGCCUGCAAAACUAUACCAGUCAGACAAAAUACUUCGUGUACUUAAGAUGCCCUAUGAGAAGAUACAUGCAUGUGAGAAAGGAUGUGUCUUAUUUAGGAAGGAGUAUGCACACUUGGACUAUUGUCCCAAUUGGAAGUCUUGCAGGUAUCUUGUGGCAGACAACGGUAUGGGUGAGAAGAGGCUGACCAAAGUUGCAGUUAGUGUUCUUCCGUAUAUGCCAAUCAUACCAAGGCUUCAACAUCUUUUGAUGGUCGAAGAGACAGCCAGAUAGAUGACAUGGCACAAAAUGGGCAAAAGAAUCGACCUAGAUGCGGAUGGGAAUAAGAUGGCAGUACACACAUUGGAUGGGGAAGCUUGGAAACAUUUUGAUGGAUUGCAUCACGAUAAAGCGGCAGAUCCGAGGAAUCCUCGAGUCUGCAUCGCCACAGAUGGUUUUAAUCCCUUCAGCAUGACGGCAACCCAAUACAAUAGUUGGCAUGUAUUUGUCAUUCCACUCAAUCUCCCCCCGGGCAGAUUAUGCAAAGAAAGAACAUAUUUCUAACAUUGAUAAUUCCAGGGCCCAAUUAUCGGGGGAAGAAUAUGAAUGUGUACAUGCAGCCGCUUAAGGAUGAAUUGCAAGAAGCUUGGGACAAUGGGGUCAAGACAUACGAUGCCGCUAGAAAAGAGAACUUCAAAAUGCAUGUGUGGUACAUGUACUCUAUGCAAGACUUGUCGGCGUAUGCGCUAUUCUACGGAUGGUGCGUGCAUGGAAGGUUCCCGUGCCCCACAUUCAAGGCAGCUCUUCAGUUUCAUUGGUUGCAGGAGGGUCAGAAGUAUUCUUGCUUUGACUUGCAUAGACAGUUCCUAGAUCCUGGCCAUCAAUUCAGAAAAGACAAGAAGAACUUUACCAAAGGUAAAGUUGUCAAAAACUUGGCACCACCUGUGUUGACAGGCCAACAGAUCCUGGAUCAGUUAAACGCCCUCGAGCCUGAUCCAAAGCGUCCAGGGUAUUUCAAGGGGUAUAAUUCAAAACACGCCUGGACUCACAAGCCAUGCUUGUGGGAUCUGCCUUACUUCAAAGACCUCCUUCUUCCACACAAUAUCGACAUGAUGCACACCGAAAAGAAUAUCAGAGAGGCUAUUUUUGGUACAUUGUUCGACAUAGAUGGGAAGACAAAGGAUAAUACUAAGGCUAGAGUCAAUCAAGAGACACUAUGUCACAGACCGUUACAAAACAUGCGAGAAGGCAAAGGAAAGCAGAAGUGGUCGAAGCCAAAGGACUGGUUCAAUCUUGGAAGGCCAGCUAUGAGGGAAAUUAUAUUGUGGGUCAAAAUGCACUUGAUGUUCCCCGAUGGGUAUGCAGCGAAUCUAAAGAGGGGAGCGAGUCUUGAAAAAAAUAAAAAUCUUGGUCUCAAGAGUCAUGAUUGGCACAUAUGGCUUGAGCGGGUAAUGCCGGUGAUGUUACGUGGCUUUAUUCCUGAGGAUGAAUGGCUAGUACUGGCGGAGCUGAGCUAUUUCUUCCGUGUUAUUUGUGAGAAAGAAUUGUCUCCUAGCGUGGUAGAUGACAUGGAAGAGUUUGCACCGGAGUUUCUAUGCAAGUUAGAGAAGAUCUUUCCGCCGGGCUUCUUUAAUCCAAUGCAGCAUUUGAUUUUACAUCUACCGACCGAGGCAAGAUUGGGUGGGCCCGUGCAAAAUUAUUGGUUCUAUGCAACUGAGAGGAUGCAGAAGACGCUUCGAGCUAAAUGUAAAAAUAAGCGUAGAGUUGAAGCAUCGAUGGUUAAGGCAUUCAUUACUGAGGAGGUGGCAAACUUUGUGACAGCACACUAGGAAGCCAAAUAUCAUCAUUUGCAUAAUCCGUAGCCUCGGUACAAUGAUGAAGACCCUAAAAGGGGUGGAUCUAACCUCAGCCUAUUCAAAGGGAAGCUCGCACCAGCUGGUGCUUCGAAACCAAUAACGUUGGAUGUCGAAGAAUGGCGAAACAUUUCGUUGUAUAUCUUCAACAACCUAACAGAAGUGCGGUUGUACAUCGAGUAAGUUCUCGACACAUUUUUUCAUAACUUCUAAUUCCUUUGAACUGCUCUUAUUCCUGGAUAUUUCAUACAGCCGAUACGUUGCCAAAUUCUCGGAUGGAGUGGUGACCCAAAAUGAUUUCGUCGAAGAGUAUGAGCUUCUAGCAAAUCAUGGAGGCGGCUAUCCCGGUUUCAUCUCUUGGUUCAAACAAACGGUAAUUAUCAAUAAUGGACCAUUUCAUUUCUUGGUCUAACUUUCGGCUAAUGCAACAAUCAUUUCGUAUUAAACUUGUAGGCUAAUUCAGAGUCUAUGGCCGCCGAGUUGAGACAAGCCGCUAAUGGUUUUGACUAUAAGGUCCAUUCAUUUGAGAAAUACAACAUCAAAGGGUAUCUCUUUGGUACCUUUCGCAAAGAGCUAUCUAUGCCCGACCGGAAAUCUACCAAUUGUGGUGUCUCUGCUAUCGGCAAAGGCGGUCUCGAGUAUUAUGGAAGGGUUGAAGCAAUUUAUGAACUUCAAUUAUAUGGUGAAAACCCACCGAACGUCGUAGUCUUGAAAUGUUCUUGGUUCCAUCCAAAGGAGACUACAAGGACUCAUGAACAUAUAGGACUAGUCAAAAUCUAUCCAAACACCCAUUUAGAUGUUCCCGAUGUCUAUAUUACGGCUCAACACGCGACCCAAGUUUUCUAUCUACCAUGGGCAUGCCAAACUGAUAAGAAUCUGGAAGGUUGGUAUGUUGUUUAUGAAGUGCAGCCACGUGUUAAACCAUCUCCCCCAAAUGAACAAGAUUAUGAACCUCACAUUAACUCAAACACAUAUGAUGGAGAAUUCUUCCAAGAAACACCUAUUUCCAAGAAACGUUUCAAGAACCGCCAUGCUUCACCCCAGAACAUGGAAGUAGACAACGACAAUGAAUCCAACUUCACCCCUGAGACGGAACCAACAGAGCUGGAACUAGAAGAGGUUACUGAUGGGAUGACCUGUCAAUGCUUGACUGAUUACAGAAACGCCUUCCACAACUUCAUUCGUUCAACCCGAUGAGCAUGUCAUUCAUGAAGAAAUGCGUGAUAGUGAUGAUGAUGAUGCAUUUAUUGAUGAUGAUUAUUAGUUUGUAAGAUUCCCAACUUAAAUUAUAUAUGUACGUAUUAUUAUUCAUGUGAGUUAUUCAAUUUUUUUAUGUUGUACUAAUUUAUUUUAAUCUUUAUCAUGGCAGGUCAGCAUGUGUUGAAAGAUGGUGGGCGCGGGUCUAGAUCGCUCAACAGGUUCUUCUUCGGCGGCCCGCACGAGGGGUGGUACUUCCAUUCCACCCCUAUGUCUCCGUAGAGCCUUUCCAGUCAGUCUGACGACACCACCCACGGGUGCUUCUUCGUCGGCGGCAUUGCCCACUGGGAGAGGUGCUGGCCGGGCAGGGAAGAAGGGGAAGGGUAUAGGGAGAGGUGGUGGCCGCGGAAGAGGUAGGCGGACUGUUGCGCCGUCCUCGUCACCACCACCAGCUCAUUCAUCCGAGCACAGGACUACUAUGGUGGACCCGUUUGCGGAGGAGGCUACGGGGACUCUAGUCUAGGAGCCUCGGGUGGACGGGCAUUCGGACCAUGAGACUCCGGUCCAGGAUUAGCCUCGGGUCGAGGUGCCUUCGGCCCACGAGACUCCGGUUCCUGAGGCUACGUCCUUGGAGACUUCUGCCACACACGCUUCGGCCGGCGUGGAGACGUCCGGAUGGGGUGCCUGGUCGGAUCGGACCGAGGUGCCGGAUUGGACCGAGGGUCCGAGUGGCUAUUCUGUUGAUGGCGGGGAUGAGUCUACGGAUAGUGAGGGUGACGUGCAGGUGGACGGGGCCACCGUGUACAGGCAUGGUAGUAUACGUCUCCCAGUCGCGUCGGCUACCAGCGAGCAGAGGCCGGUGAUUAAGCGUGAAGGGGAUAGGUAAGUACGUUUACUCUUUUUUUAGCUGCUGCCUUCAAGUUCCUUCAAAUAUCUAAUGCGUUGACCUUAUCAUACAGCAGGGGCUGGAAACACCCUGGUGGAGUCGACAAGCCAAACAGCAUCCUUGGUGUGCUUUGUCGGACAAAUUUCUCGGGGUUUGUCACGUUGCCUGGUGAGGGUCAGGUUCCUACACUAGGAUUUUCCUCGGAGCACUACCAGGCUGUGCAGGCCCCGUCGGAGGACAUUAUAGAUGGUGCCUUGUGCCACACGAGGGCCGAUAUGAUGAUCAACAACUUUUGGGCAAAUUAUCCUUUUACACAAUCUAAAAUUAACAAUAUAGCUAAUUAUUGUACUAAUCGGUGUUGUCUCGUUUGAUUGCAGACCUUCUAUACGUGUGAGGAGGAGGCGGCCAAGGUUAUCAAGGCCGAGUGUAGGCGGUUAUUACAGAAUUUACGCCACAAGGCUCGGCCGCGGGCCAUUCGAGACUACUAUGCCACGAUUGGUAUUAAGAAGCAGAAGAAGGAGUGCCGCGGAAAGUAUCUGAAGGAGGAGUACAUGAAGGUAAUUACCUAUUCUUAAGGCCUUGUAUGUAGUUUUCUUGAUUUGAUUCAUAGGUGUAGCGCUCAAAAUUCGAGCCGACCACGACAAUGCAAAGGAUCAGCGUAGCAAAAUGGUUGGUGUGCCACACCAUCAAGGGAGCGCCAACUUACUUCAGUUCGGACGAAACUGGGUAUGUGGUUUGCUUCAUGAUUCAUGCAAUUCAUUCUUCAUGCUAGCUUGAGCCCCUUACUAAUACUUUGUUCCUCUCUUUUAGGCGCACCAUAAUAAGAUGGAGAUGCCAAAGUUCUACGACCUUUAUGGCAUGGCCCAUACCGCCUCGUACAAGAAGGUGAAGGCAUUCUGUGAGUCUAACCUGGAUGAUCCAAAUAACUUCACCAGCAUCUCAUCCCACCACAAGCUCAUGAAAUACAGGUACACAGGAAAGGCUUGGAAAGGGGAGGACUUUAACCCAAGCCAGGAACCUUUGGAUCCAGAGCUCGUGAUGAUAUCUGGUGGCGGGAGGCCCCAUGGCUCGAUAGCCAUUGGAGAUGGGAUAAUACGUUGUCCACUCACUCUCCCGGAGAUCAAGGCGCGCCAGUCAAGCUCCUGUCCUAAGAUAACGCCUGGUCCACGGGCAGUCGAUCUUGCCAUCGAGGUUAGUUGUACGGACUCAGAAAACUUCCAUCCAUUUCAUUGUGUGUGUGCCAUCGAUCAUUACUGUGGUAGCGAGGAAUGGUGUUGCAGGUUGCUCUUAAGAAAGAGAGAGUGGCAAACGAAGCUGCUCUUGAGAAAGAGAGAGCCGCAAGCCAGGCUGCUCUUGAGGAGAGAGACCAGACCACAGCUCGGUUGAUUGAGGGGGAGAGGGCCCGCAAUGAGGUGGCUCACCUCGUCAUGUACGAGCUUAUUGUGGUAAGUUUCUUUUUCACAUUAGCCAAAUCAUGUGUGUAAUGUAUGCUUCAUUACUAACUAAUACGACUGACUCUUCAAAACCGAAUGUGCAGUCUAUGUACGAGAAUACCGGUCAAGCCCCUUCACCGAUGCCCAUCUUCUGUGCGAUUGGCACGGUGAGUUUCAUAUCAAUGGUCAUUAUAAACUAGUAUUAACAAUUGAGUGUCAUCAUGCUAACCGAGACAUUGCAAAAUAUCUUUUCUGCAGAAUAACUCCCGAGAGGCAUCGCACGACCCUUCUCCAGGGCAACUGUCUCCAAACGAAGCCGACGCAAGGACCCUGGUGUUUCUCCUCCUUCAUGACCAAUGUGGUAAGUUUUCUCCAAAAUGACAAAAUAAGCUCCUACUUGAUUUCUACUAGGAAAAAUAGUUAGUGAAACCACUAGGUUCAUAACUUAGCUAAUUUAGCUCCAAAAUGGUUAGUGAAACCACUAGUCUCAUAACUUAGCUAAUUUAGCUCCAAAAUGACAUAAUAAGCUCGAUUGAAAUAGUAAAAAUGAAAAGAAGAAAUAAGAAGAAGAAGAGAAGNNNNNNNNNNNNNNNNNNNNNNNNNNNNNNNNNNNNNNNNNNNNNNNNNNNNNNNNNNNNNNNNNNNNNNNNNNNNNNNNNNNNNNNNNNNNNNNNNNNNNNNNNNNNNNNNNNNNNNNNNNNNNNNNNNNNNNNNNNNNNNNNNNNNNNNNNNNNNNNNNNNNNNNNNNNNNNNNNNNNNNNNNNNNNNNNNNNNNNNNNNNNNNNNNNNNNNNNNNNNNNNNNNNNNNNNNNNNNNNNNNNNNNNNNNNNNNNNNNNNNNNNNNNCUUCUCCUCCUCCUCCUUAUUCUUCUUAUUCUUCUUCUCCUUCUUCUCUUCUUUCUUCUUCUCUUUCUUCUUAAAUUUAGCUUAUUUUCCCCAACAAAGACAUACUUAGCUAAUUAUCCUCCAAAAUGACAUAAUUAGCUUAGUUAGGCAAAAACAUCAUAAGAACCUUGGUUAGCUCAUUAAAAUGACUAAUUAAGCUCCUAAAAGACAUUAUAAGCUCAAAAUGGCAUAAGAACCUUGGUUAGCUCAUUAAUAUUAUAUACUUAGCUUGUUUUCCUCUAUAAUGACAUAAUUUGCCCAUUUAGCUCNUCAAAAUGAUAUAAUUAGCUUAGUUAGGUAAAAACAUCAUAAGGACCUUGGUUAGCUCAUUAAAAUGACUAAUUAAGAUCCUAAAAGACAUUAUAAGCUCCAAAUGGCAUAAGAACCUUGGUUAGCUCAUUAAUAUUAUAUACUUAGCUUGUUUUCCUCUAUAAUGACAUAAUUUGCCCAUUUAGCUCNGGAGUGCUUUAGUUCUAGUUUUCAUUUGAGUUGAUGAACAAUGUGGAACUAUAUGUAUAUGUAUAUAUGGAUGAAGAAUAUAUGUGGAACUACAUGUAUAUGUAAAUAUUGCUGAAACUUUGUUUAUGUUGGUUAUUUUGAUAUAUGCGAUGUACAUUGAUGAACAAAUGGCAUUGAUGAACUUUAUAUGUAUAUCAUAUAUGUGUUCUGACCUAUAUAUCAUAUCUGUGCUAUGAAUUAUAUAUAAAUAUAUUUCUUGUGUGUUUAGUAACUAGGCAAGAUGAGUGUGUUGGAAAUAUGCCCUAGAGGCGAUAAUAAAAUGGUUAUUAUCAUAUUUCCUUGUUCAUGAUAAUCGUCUAUUGUUCAUGCUAUAAUUGUAUUAACAGGAAACAGUAAUACAAGUGUGAAUAAAUAGAUCACAAUGUGUCCCUAGCAAGCCUCUAGUUAGCUAGCUCGUUAGUCAAUAGAUGAUCAUGGUUUCCUGAUCAUGGGCAUUAGAUGUCAUUGAUGACGGGAUCACAUCAUUGGAGAAUGAUGUGAUGGACAAGACCCAAUCCUAAGCAUAGCACUAGAUCAUAUUGUUGGUAUGCUAAAGCUUUUCUAAUGUCAAGUGUAUUUUAUUUCAACCGUGAGAUUGUGCAACUCCCGGAUACCGUAGGAGUGCUUUGGGUGUAUCAAACGUCACAACAUAACUGGGUGACUAUAAAGGUGCACUACGGGUACCUCCGAAAGUGUCUGUNGCGGAUGGCAAAGGCCUUUGCCAUCAGGCAGCUGAUGGCAAAGGUGCCACGUGGCACCCAGCUGUGCAACCUGGGCAGCAACAGUUGGCCGUAUGGGCUCUUUGUCGUCCGCUGCCUCGGGAGGCUAACGGCACAGCGGUAGGGAGGCAAACGGCAAAGAGUAUGAUCCCUGCGCUGGCCCAACUCUGUGCUGGCCAUAGAAGCAGAUGACAAAGAGGGGGAGGGACGCAGACGACAAAGAGAGGGAGGGAGGCAUACGACAAAGAGAGGGAGGAAGGAAGAUGGCAACUAGAGGGAGGAAGGCAAACGACAAAGCCUCUGUUAGCCCUAACGGAGGCGUUGCCUGUCGGCUGCCCUCUAAGCAUGUUUGUCGUCUGCUCUAUGCCAGAGGCUGACGGCAAAGACCUUUGCCAUCCGCUUAAGGAAGACUGACGACAAAGAAGGUGAUAUGUCGUCGAAAGUCAUCGUAGGAACAUUGCCGACAGGAGGCUGACGACAAAGACCUUUGCCGUCGGUGGAUCACCUCUUUGCCGUCUGUUAUGGCAGACGGCAAUGAGUCCGAUUCCUCUAGUGAUUGGUGCUAAAAAUGUGGUAUUGACCAUUAUUUAGUUGUUGAGGAUUGCUGUGAAAUCCAUACUGAUUGCUAUUUUGUUGAUUUCCUUGGUCAGAACGCUACCUAUUACCAGUAUUCUCUUGGUGCUGAUAUUCUAAUCUAGAACCGCCUGGUUCGUUAAAUCCGGACCCUAAGAAACCUCAAGACGAGCCGCCUUGCGGGCCAGGUUGUUCAUACUGACCCGAAUGUCCACCAUUAUCCCCAAGGUGGCAUUGAAAGGCUUGAUUUCUAAACUCCUGCAUGAUAUAGAAAUUUUCCCAUGAAUGAUUAGAUGGCUUAUCCUGAGUGCUAUCCUUUAGUCAAGGCGCCUUGAGGGCCUCCUCAUAGUUAUGUGGCUUAUUCCCUUAUAAGGUCCUUCGGAACGGCGCUGGUGUUUAAAUUCAGUGUUGGUAUUGGCCACAAAUUCUGAACUGCCCUCAGACUACCUCCGUUUAUUGUUGUGGUUUCCCUGGUUUCCACUUUGUUGGUUACCUUUGGCACCUUCUCCUUUCUUGCACUUGUCGGUCUUGUCCUCGUCUGACCCAGGGUCUUUCGUGCCACCUGACUCGGCGUACCUUGUCAGAACGUCCAUCAAGUCGCCCAUGUAUUGAGUCUUUCGCUUCAAACGACCCAACUUAAGCACCAAUGGCUGGAAAUGACAAUUCUUCUCCAGGUUUAGAACGGCUUGUGAGGCUAUUAUACUAUCCGAUGAAUCAAUUAUUUCUGCAACCGACGAGUCCAAUGAUGGGCUCACUCGCCCGUCCGCUGAACGUAAUGCUGGAGAUCCACAAUUGUCAUCGGGCGCUUGCAUGUUCCUUAGAAUUUUUUUACGAAUCGUUCCUUCAACUCCGCCCAAGUGUUGAUGGAAUUAGGUGGAUGUUUUUUAAGCCAAGUUAGGGCUGGCCCUUCUAACAUCAUCAUCACAUACUUUGCCCAUACCUCAUCACUGACGUCGAGCAUGUCCAUGGCUAGCUCGUAACUUCCAAUCCAUACCACCACCUCAAGAUCUGAUGUAUAGUUUGGCACAUUGCGCGGUCCUUUCAAGUCUUUGGGCAUGGGCUCGCUACGAAGAGCCAGAGAUAAGCAUGGAACACCGAUUGUCCUGGUGCUACUUCUGGCUCCAUGUGUUGCUUAUUGUGGUUCCGCUACAUGCGGUUGAGCCGCCCGCCUCAUGGCCGCUUCUGCCUCCACCUGACGGGCGGCUCUUGCCGCGUCCACCAAGUCUUAGGAAUUCUGAAAUCCUGGACCAGUCGGGGAAACCCAAAGCUGUUGUCGCCACACGUUACUGGAAACAGCCGAUGACUCCCCAUGGCGGAUGAUAUAAGGUGUGGAGUGCAUUCGAUCUCGACUGUAUGAGUACUGCACCUGUUGGGCCACUGCCAUCUUCAGCAUCUCAGUCGCGUUCCUAGCUUCAAUUUCCACCGGGGUGUUUCCAUGUAUAGGGAGCGACUCCAAGUGACGCAUUGCAGCCAACAUAUGGUCAACGGGGUUGGAAAAUAACCCUGUGGUGUGUAAAAAUGAUGUGGCCAUGCCUGAGCUGGUUGUGCCUUAGCCAGUUGUGCCUAAGCUGGUUGUGCCUCAUCUGGCUAUCCCUGAUCAUGCGGCGGGUUCCGUGCAGCGUGAGGACUGUGGGGACUAGCAAAUAGGAGCGUCGGUGUUACGUCUAGUGGUAACCAAGAUUGAUGUCUCCUCAAGUGAAUCGCCUCUUUUGUCUGUUAUCGAAGUCCAAGCUGCCACGCCUCUACCCGUAAAUGCUCCAACUCAUCACCGACUCGAUCCUGUGUCUCUGCAAACCGUAUGUUUUCAGUGUCGAUCUCUUUCUGAACCUUGAUCAUCUUUGUGCAGAGUUUUGCUAGUUCUGCAUUACGUUCUUCUCAGUUCUCGUUGAUUAUUGUAUCCUCCAAGAGAUUAGUCAUCUCGGCAUUCAGGUCACUCAUGGCUUGAGACAACGUUUUACUCGACCCACCAGCCUCAUUGGUGGCUCCUGCUGUAGCUGGAUCUGAUGAAGGCGCGACUCAAGCCAUGUAAAUAGUGACUUGCCAAGGUGGGUCAUCUGGCUCCGUCGUAGCUUCUUCCUCCAGAGCUUCCCCAAGCUCGUUACUAAGGGGAAAGAUGGAUCCGGUGUAUCUCAUGGAGGACUCGCCAUCAUGGUUGUCAUUGUCGAGGAUGUCCUCAACGUUUGCCGGUUCAUCCGCAAGGCUGAGCCCCUAGGUCAAUCCGACAAACAUGUGACGACUAUGUGUUUGGAAAUGACCGUGUCGGUCGCGCCGAGUCAGCUCGUUGACGGUGGUGUAUAUGUCCGACCCGAGCAUCCUUGCGCAGAUCUGACCGAAGGGGAUCUGCGAAUUAGUUUCUCCUAAGCCGACCUUAAAGCCCUAACCUAUGUUGUUGAUGUAGCGAUUGUUGCGAUGAUUCUUGAUCAUCUUGGCCACCGCGCGACUCCCAAAUCCCGGAAGAGUUCCCUCUGAGUACUCAACUCCACCUUGUGAUUGCCCCAUGGUGGGCGCCAACUGUCGUGGUUUUUUCGCGGCAGAUGUCCUCAUGAAUGGACUUAGUGGUGAGACCAUUGUCGUGAUGUGGGGACUCGAAGGGGUUGAUUGGGAAACAAAAGGCGGAUUUACCCAGCUUCAACCCCUCCGAUGGAGGUAAAAGCCUACGUCCUGCUUUGUGUUUGUAUUGAUGGCAAUCUCGAUUACAAGGGUGCGGAAUCGCUAACCUAGCUCUCGAGGGUUUCUAACUUGAUAUCUCUGGCUUGAGGGUCCUCCUUUAUAUAUAGGUAGAGGCCCCAAGUCUACAGUGAAGUCUCAGUCAAAUAAACAGUCGGGUGCUACUACAAAUCUACCUUAUCUUUCUUCCUAAGUGAGGAAAGCUUCUAGUGUCUCUUGCCAUGUUCAUCUUUGAGUCGCCGCCUUCUGGUGAUGGGCCACUUGGGGGCUUUGUCGACUAAGUCCGCCGGCCCAUAUUCUCAUCUUUUCCUUGCGGCUUGACCCGCCCUCAUAAGGCGGAUUAAAUCCUGGGGUUAUAUCCCCGACACUCGGGAAGAAAACUGGUCGGCGCAUACCGAGUUCAGAUCCGGAGCCCCCGUGAGGCUAACCUCGUGUGUUAGAAAAGGUAUUGACUGGGGAUCGGCCUUGGAGGUGAAUGCGCUAUAGAAGCACAUCACACAGAUGGGGGAGGCGAAUAUCAAGCUGACCAACGUGGUUCAGGUCAUGCUCCGCCGUUGCAUCCUUCCCUGCGAGCGUCGGGACACUCCAAUGUGGUCCUACAAGCUUGGUGACCCCAAGACCGUGCACCAGUUCUACCACACUACCCAUGAGAAAUUGUGGAGGGUGUUGUUCAAACCUCAACAGGAAUGGCCGGUCGAGGAAGAAGACGCCGGCUUUGAUGCCGAUCACCCUCCCUUGGAGGAAUAACUGAGCUUUUAUCUUAUUUAAAGCUUUAAUAUUUAGCAAGGAGCUUAUCCUUUCCACCAUCAUCCCUGUAGGGCUGGUUGAACAAGGCCGUGAAAAUAAACAACCCAGCCACCUACCUGAGGACCCCAGGUCGCCAUUGUUGAUCGUGAUGCUGGUGGUGGCGCCAUACACGACACUAGAGAAAAAAGAGAAAAAGAAAAGGGAGGCCCGCGGGGGUCUCCGCUCGAGGGGUCCUCCGGAUACCAAGUUCGGAGACACCCAUGCUUCCUCCACCUACGAGAAAGAGGAUGCACAUGACGGAGAGGAGAAAGAUUCCCUCCGAACAAGAAAGAGGACGGCGCUGGAGGAGGCCAAGGAGGGCUUGCCUCCUCAGGCCCGGAAGAGGCCCUACAGGAGCAAGGUCAUCCAUUCCGACGAUAUCUCAAAUUCUGAUGGGGACUCCGGGGCCUUUGAGAGGGUUCCCCGAAGGAACCCCAGGAUCAAGCCCUGUCGAAAGGUAUGGAAUCCAAACUUUAUUUAUUGGAAUUAUACUGAGCAUUUGUUAAUAAACAUACGUGCUCCUUUCCUUGACGCAGCCCUACCUGAAACCUCUUGACGAACCAGGUCUAAAAGGGGGGUUCACCACCGGCCAAGCUAGCGGAGAGCGGGAAUGUGUCCCGUACUACUCUCCCUUGGGCAUCGGACGAGGUUGCGGAGGUGAUAUCCCACCAGGCCCCUCCGAACAUGGGGGACGAGGUGGUGAUGGCCGAGGUUCAUACGUCGGCCACCGAAGAUCGAGAGGUCCCAGACAAAGUUCAUGCCUCGGUCACCGAAACCCAAGAGGUUGGCCCCCUCCUGACGAGUGGGGAGGGGGGCCGUGAUUCUUCUCAGCUUCCUCCGGAGGUAGCUCCAGGGACCUCUGAUCCUCUGAUGUCUUCAACGUUGCUUCUGAUGCCGCCUACGACAGAAGGGCUACGACCGAGUGGCCUGCAAUGAUGGAGGAGGCUUUAUCCAGCUCAUCCAUUGCCGAUGAACAUCGCACCCUUAUGGGUGCAAUCCUACAAAGCAUUCAGUCCGUUGACUGUGGACUGAAGGGAGCCUUCAGCGGUUUGCUGGCAGGCUUCAAGGUAAACCAUGUAGUGUUAGAUUUAUUUAUAAGGUUCUACAUGCCUUAUAGGUAUGACAGCCCCCAAGCCAUGGGUGAGUUGAAACACUUACCCAUGGAUGAAAAGAACUUAUAGACAUGAAUAAAAAUAGUUCGGGGACCCUUGAACUAUAAUAACUCAGGGAGGGGGGGUACUUUGACCAAAUGUCCUAGUCCCGUUAGCUCGGAUGCUUGUCAAUCCAGAACUUGUCUCGCAGGCCUCGUCCUUGGUUGUGGCCACCAACACCCUUGAACUUUCCGAACUAGACCGAAAACUCAAGGUUUCCGAUGAAGAACUCAGCCGUCUUAAUAGUAGGCUCGACGAGAAGCAGGGUAAGCUUGAUGUGUGCCAGUAAGACUCUUGUUGUACUUAACAAUUUAGUACUGUCUGGCUUUGGUAUAUGACAUAUUUAUUCCGAUUAUGUUAGCAUCUAUGGACGUGGAGUUAGAGAAACUCAAGGCCGAAUUGGAAAAGGCCAAGCAGGAGGCUGUCGCGCAUAAGAUGGUGGCCGAGCAGACAACUGCUGAACUAAGCUCGUUGAAGGUUGAGAGCAGCGGGCACAAGACUAGAGUGGCCGAGGUCUAUCAGGAGCUUCAAGAUGCGAGCGCUAAGAGCGAGGCCUUGGAACAAAAAUCCAAAGAACAAGCGGCCGAGCUAUCGGAGUUGUCCUCCGAGCUCAAUCAGAGCGGUUAGAGAGGCGCUUUUUCAAAGAAGAAGUGCGCCAAGCCAAGAAUAUUGCAGAUGGUAAGCCAUACUUACUGCAAUGUGCCUUUGGUGGAAACAUGUUUGCCUUUCUUACAUGGCUAUGGCGUUCCCCAGUCGGCUUUACGGACCUCCUGUGGAGUGCAGCACACACGGCCAAGCGCUAUGCGGCCCAAGAAGGGGACACCGAGCAGAGGCUUUUCUGGGCACAGUUUCAGACUCCCGAGCCCAAGCCCCUUCUCGUCUACUAGAUGAAAUAGCUCAUGGAGUUGCACAGGAUGGCAGAGCUGGCCAUGAAGGACCUCUGCAUCCGGUUGUGGCCUGCCAAGCCUCUUCCAAGCAGUUACUUCAGCUUAGUGCGGAAGUUGUACAACGACGUGCGUCAAAUCGAGGCCCUGAAGCGCUCUGUUUGCAUAGAGGGAGCUCGGAUGGCUUUUGCGAGGACCAUGAUGCACAGGCCAGGGGAGAAUCCCCUUACGAUGGCAACCGCACCUCCGCCUCUUGGAAAGGAGCACAGGCGUCCAAAGCUUUAUUUCUCUACCGCAGCGGAGGGUGCUCGGGCCAUAGAACUUUGGAUUUUUGUUCGAAGGCCUCGCUCUUGGUGCUCGCAUCUUGAAGCUCGGGUAAUUUUUGAGUGAGGAUAUCGUUGUCUGCCUUGGAACAAUUUAUUAUUAUGAAGCUUGUCCCACUGUAAUGCACUUUGUAUUAUUUUGACUGUUGUGUGGCCGUUUAAUCUCAAAGUUUCCAGUCGUCGGCUUCAUCCCCCAUGUAAAGACUACAAGGGGUGUUUCGACAUCUGCACUGUGACCCUUAGCCGAUAUAUCGGUGCCGGAGGCGGUAGUGUGUGAAGGAAAUGAGGGAAUCGGACUAUGCGACUUUAGUGCUUUCACUUAGCCUUAGGAGCUUGAAUUCGAGGGCUGACUACGAGUCUCCAUUUUUUUGUGGUAGUGGGAUGAACCAGAUUUUGAGACAUUUACCACAAGGUUUGCAAAGAAACAAACACCUCUAUAUGACACGGAAUAAAACCUCCAUCGGUCUUUCGUACUUAAGCUCGGAUUGCAGACCAGUUCUCGCUUAUUAUGACAGUCAGUUUUCGGCUUUCUCCACUGAGGUAUUUUAGCCAGGCUAGUUGGGAAUACAAUCGCAGUGGUUCUCCCUUUACCCCUUUAGCUGAACCAGUAGAACAUAAGGGGGUAAGAACAGGAGCGGGGCAACCCAAUUAUCGACCCAAGACAUGAUUCUGAACCGAUGCAUAUAAAGCAAUAUCAUAGAAACCGAACACUUAAAAAGUAGUGAUGGGGUAGUGCUCGGGGAAGUACUUUCAUCCAAGCCCCUGUCUAUUAGCCCAUCGCACUUGAUAUUUAUUGAACAAUUUUACCCAUCGACGCCAAUGAGCAGGAAACAUAUAUAUGUAAAGAUACUGUAAAAGAGUAUAUAAAUAGUAUUUGCUAGGAAUUUUUAUAAUUUGUGGCACCAAGGUAGUUGUUAUAGGUAACUAUUGUUUUGAACAACAUAUUUCAAAGCAACUUUCUUCCACACGACCUUCCAAGGGUGACUUGACGUUCGCCCUGCUUCUAGCUGCACAAUUUCUCCUAUGCUUUCUAUAAGGGAGGGGUAGUAUCCUUUAAUGGUGGUUGUUUUCUACAAACGGACCUUGAAUAGAUGGUCUUGAAAAGCUGUCGUGGUAUGGGUGAGCUUGAUGCUUGGGAGAUCCUUAAUGGUAUCUCAUUUUUUGUCCGUGAAUACGUUUGGACGUAGUUUGGUCGAACCGAACAUAUGGUCCUUGGUAGUGGAUCCCCACAGCUGCCCAUGGUAUUUUGAGAAUGAAAUUGUGUCUACGAGGGACAUACCUUAUGGGUGACCGGGCCAUGCCAUGGGGAGCGUAUCCCUAUUUUCUUUGAGACAGAGAUAUCUCCGGGGGAUCCGAUUGAGCUCGGGCUCGCUUGCUCGCCUACCACGCCUUGAUGGCUAGCUUGUGUCGUGCUGCUUCUUUUUUGUAUUAGCAUUCAGCUGCCAAGGUCGCUGUGUGCUCCUCGGUACGGAGGGAGCGUUCUGUGUUGUCGUUGAUGGUGAUAACUCCCCUGGGUCCGGCCAUUUUGAGCUUUAGGUAGGCGUAAUGGGGAAGAGCGUUGAAGCGGGCGAACACCGUGCGGCGGAGUAGUGGGUGAUACCUGCUGUAGAAGGUGACGAUGUUGAAGAUUAAGUCUUCGAUGCGGAAGUUGUAGGUCAGCCGAACACAACCUCCAGCAUUACCGUGUCGGAGCAGCGGGAUCACUCCUUUGAAGGUAGUGUUGCUGGGUUUGAUUCUUGAUGGGUCUAUGCCCAUCUUAUUUGUCGUAUCUGAGUAAAUCAGGUUAAGGCUACUUCCUUCGUCCUUAAGGACUCUAGUGUGGUGGUACCCAUAUAUGAUGAGGUCUACAACAAGGGCGGCCAGCCCUCCAUGACUGAUACUGGUCGGAUGAUCCCUACGGUCGAAGGUGAUCGGGAAAGCCGACCAUGGGUUGCACAUCGGGGUUAUGGGCUCUAUGGCAUAUACCUCCCAAAGGGCUUGCUUCGUCUCCUUCUUUGGUAUGUGAGUAAUGUAUAUCAUAUUCACGGUUUUCACCUCUAGGGGAACUGUUUUUGGCCCGAGUUGUUCGGAACGCGGGCUCUUCAUCAUCCUCGUUUCGUGGGCCCUUGCCUUGUUCGUCGGUUGCUACUUUGCCAACCUAUUUAAACACUCAACAGUUACGAUUUGUGUGGGUGGCGGUCUUGUCUUGGGUGCCAUGGAUCUAGAGAGGCCUUUACAUAAUACUAUCUAAUGUAGUCAGUCCAUUCCUGUUCCAUUUAAAUGGUUUCUUUCGCUGUCCGGGUUUUGAGCUGCGGAAGCCAGCAUUUAGGGUUGUGUCAACGGCGUCACCUUUACGGUGGCGGAGUUUGGUCUUGUUUUUCCUUGGCUUGCCAUUUCCAUCCUGAACUUUAGAGGUACCGGGGUCGUCCGCAUUAUGGUCGCGCCGAGCUAGAAAAUUGUCCUUGCCCGCGCAAAAGCGGAACAUGAGGGAAGUGAGAGCGGACAUUUUAUCGGCCUAUCCUCGCCGACCUGGCGAGCCAACCAUUCGUCCUGGGUAUUGUGCGUGAAGGAGGUUGUCGCAUUGUCAUCCGGACAAUCCACGAUCUAGUUCUUCUUUGUUAGGAACCUAUUCGAGAAUCCUAUGGCCGAUUCGCCCGCGUUUUGGAUGGCGUUGCUUAGGUUGGAGGAAUCCGGUGGUCGAACGUAAGUUCCCUGAAAAUUAGACAGGAAGGCUUCUUCAAGGUCUUACCAACAUCCGAUGGAAUUUUCAGGUAAGCUAUUUAGCCACUACCGUACUGGCCCUUUCAGCUUUAGGCGUAGUUACUUGAUGGCGUGGAGGUCAUCUCCCCUGGCCAUAUGAAUGUGGAGAAGGAAAUCUUCUAUUCACACGGCGGGGUCCGUAGUCCCGUCGUAUUGUUGUAUGUUCAUGGGUUCAAACCCUUCCGGGAAUUGGUGUUGCAUGACCUCAUUUGUAAAGCACAAUGGGUGGGCGACGCCUCUGACCCAGGCUAUACUGUGCCAGCGAUCGGCUGUUGGUUUUGCUCGGUACGAUUCUCGAUCUCUAUUGAUGUGGGUAAACCAAGGUUGGUCUCCGUCCCAUCGAGUGGGAGAGUACCUUCUAGAUCCAUACAUGGACCUAUUGCGACCUGUUCUGUUGUCCAAGUCGUGACGUAGGUCAUGUCUACCCCUGGGUUGCACAUGAUCCUUUCCCUUCCUGCUGGGAGGCUCGGGUCCAUACUCGGCUUCUCCGGCCGCUCUGUCACGCCCUCGAGGUUGGCAAUCGGGCUGAUCAUACUGGGUGCGCCUGGGGGACACGGGCUCUCGGGCCUCGUCAUCGAACUGAGGCAGCACGCGUCGGCGUGGGUACCUUUUGUUCUGAUCUAGCCACUCGGUGCCAUAUCCUUCUUUAUUUGCCAAUACUUUUGUCCAUCUAUUGUUUAUGGUGUCAUGUUUGGCUUGGAGCCGCUGUUGCUUCGCUUGGAGGCUGCGGGCGAUAGCUACGAGUUGUUGCUUGAACCGUUCCUGACCCUCAAGGUCCUCGAGAACUAUGAAGUCUUCGGCCUUUAUACUAUCUUUCGCGUCAUCACGAGGGAGGUAGUUGUCAUCAUCUGAAUCAUCGGGGUCGUCGGGAUCGGAUUGGCCCUCGGGCUUGUUCGGGAGCUCCGAGGUUGUCGGGGGUCCUCUGGGGUUGUAUUUUCCCCGGUGCCAUCUAUGGCCCCACUUACUUUGUUUGCCUUGGCUUGUUUACGCUACCUCUGGCGCUUUGAUUGCUUUUCCCUAGACUUAUCGUCAUUUUGUUUGGGGGUAUGAUCGCCAUUGUCGUCGGGUGUGUCCACCAUGUAGACGUCGUAAGUGGAGGUGGCAGCCCACCGCCCGGUAUUUACAGGGGCGGGGUCACCGGCCACAUCAUCCAUGUCUUCAACCUCCUCGAAGGCGUAAUCCAACAUGUCGGUUAAGACUUCGACGGUGGCAACCAAGUGGGUGGUGGGUGGGCUGUGAACUUCCUCAUAAUCCGCAUCCAAACUGAUCCGACUAUAGGUCGGGCUCGGGCCAUCCAUAGUUUUCAAUGACUGGAUCUGGUCAAGCGUCUCAUUUAACAUCGAGAGGUUGUCCUGGUCGAUUUCUUGAUGAUUUUAGGAGUUGACCUCCGUUUCUUCCGUGAGGGACGGGUAUUCAGGAAUGGCUGUUGCCUGGGUACUGAGAUUGGGUCCGGGCUCAAAGACAACUCUCUGACAAAGAGGGAACCGAGGUCAUGGCCGGGCAAGAGACCCGAAGUCAAGGCUUCAGGAUUUUGGGGUUCAUCGCACGAAGCCAUGAUCUUAGCAGGGAAAAGAUCUCCCGAGGAGUCGCUCAAGAAUUCAAGAUUCUCGAACCUUAUCUCCUGACUGGGGACGAAGCCUCCGAUCUAGCCAAGGCGGCCGAUCGGGUCGGCGCGCAGCGUGACGCUGCCGAACGCGAGAACCUGCCUUGGAACAAAGAUGUCCCUGUUUCCAAUUCGAUCGCUGAUGAUUACACGAGCCAUCAAUCCUUCCGGUGAACUAACAGGAGAACUCUCAAUGAAAGCACCAUUGUCGGUGUCAAAACUGGCGGAUCUCGGGUAGGGGCUCCUGAGAUGUGAACCUUGUAUGGAUGGGUUACACGGCACAAAGAGGACAAUGUUUACCCAGGUUCGGGCCCUCUUGAGGAGGUAAAACUCUAUGUCCUCCAUGAUUAUAUUGAUAUGUAUGAGGAUUAAAGAGUUGACCUACCUUGAGAUCGUAUGAGCUAAAACCCUAGAUGAGUCAACUUGUCUAUGAGGAUGAAACCCACUUGUUUAUAUAGACACCACGGGUUCCUCGGGUUAUAUACAACCGACCUCCAGCCGGGGAUAGAUGCGUCGAUCUGGAGUACUCAACUUGGAUGACACACCAGUCUUCGGAGCUUUCCUUCUUGAACACGAGGUCGUCACGUAGUCCGGUCUUCAACAAUAAGGCCCAUUAGGUCGGCCUCUAAUAAAUGAAUCGACCGCCCGAGGACUCCUUAGUCCCGGACUCCCCCAGUGGUGCCUAGUGGGGAGCCCUUAAGUCGGAUGAGGAUCUUCUUCGGGCACAAGAAAGCUAAUUUACGGAUAAAUUCCCUCAAAAUUCCAGCACGAUCGGAGUUAAGGAUCUCCAAGAAUUUAAGAAACAGUGAAGGGCAAGAAAACGAGAACGCCAAACAGAACAGAACAGAGAGGGAGAUCCAAUAUCAGAGGGGCUCUUGCCCCUCUGCAGCCAUGGAGGCCAUGGACCAGAGGGAGAACUCUCCUCCCAUCUAGGGGGGGCAAGGAAGAGGAGGGAGGGGGCUCUCAACCCCUCUCUUACGGUGGCACCGGAGUGCCACCGGGGCAAGGAGUGUGACGAUGAUCUACAUCAGCAAGCUUGCCGCCGUCAACACCAACUCCCCCCUCUAUGCAGCGGUGUAAGACCUCUUUUCCCGAUGUAACUCUCUAUUUAAACAUGGUGCUCAACACUACAUACUAUUUGCCAAUGAUACGUGGCUAUUCUAUAAUGUUUGAAUAGAUCCGUUUUGUCCUGCGGGUUAAUUGUGAUAUGAUUUUAUUGUGUUUAUAUGAUGUUGUCCUAAGGUGCCUUCUGUGAGGCGCACACGCGAAGGAUACAUGCUGGAGGGUUUGCAUUAUGUUCAUGAUUCGCUUAUAGUGGGUGGCGAGAGUGACAGAAACUUACAACCGAGUAAGGGAGUUGUCCGCACAUGGGAGUAAAGAGGACUUGAUGUUUAAUGCUAUGGUUGGGUUUACCUUAACGAUUUCUAGUAGUUGUGGAUGCUUGCUAGAGGUCUAAUCAUAAGUGCAUAUGAUCCAAGUACGGAAAGUGUGUUAGCAUAUGCCUCUCCCUCAUUGCACAUGAUAAGUAUCUAUCAUGUUAGAGGUCCAAUCAUAGUUUCAUACUUGUUCUAGGUAAAGUAAGUGUUUGCACGCAUAGAGUUGUAUCGAUGGUCGAUACAACUUGAGAGAAUAUUAGUUCUACCUUUAGCUCCUUGUUGGGUUCGACACUCUUGCUUAUCAAAAAGGGCUACAAACGAUUCCCUACACUUGUGGGUUAUCAGUGAGUAUCCUGGCGACACGAAGGCGAGCACAUGACUGGUGGCGACCUCGAUGAUCGCUCGGGUCAGAGAUGCCUGUGGCAUGGUCUCAUGUCCGUCCUCGUCAAGGACAAUGAUGUCGUUCCCCGGAGGUGGAAUUUCUUCAACAUGUGCGAUGGGGUCAAUGUGCAACAUUUCUACUUACGAACUGGCAUGCAUCCAGUCGGUCACCACCGGCACGAGAGGCAUGAAGUACAGCGCAGCUGGCUCAAGGGCCUGCACCGACAGUUGCAUGAAGGGUUGCAUAACCGGCUCUAGGGCCUGCAAUGGCAUGCUCUCAACACUAAUUUGGUGGUGGUAACAAUGACCUCGGUGACGCUGGUUCCAACCUCCAUCGAAGAGGCGAAGGUCGCACACUCGAUACUAGAAGCGGCGGAGUCUGCCAACACCAUGGCGGAGGUGGUGAGCAACGAAACGGCGGCAACGGUCAUCAUUAUGAAGAAGGCGAAGAAACGGAGAAAUCAUCUUUCGCCUCUAGUUCAUGUCGAUCUUGUUCUCUGCCGGGAAGAUUUUUCUCUAUUGAAAAGUGAUGUGUGUGAUAAUGUGCUAAAAGAAACAAAGAGCAAACUAGAGACAAAUAAAAAGAAUGAACAUAUGUAAUAUUUAUUGAUCAUGUUCAUGUAUACAUGCAAUCGGCACGAAAGCAUCCAAGAGAUGCGUCCAUUGGUGAAGGCGUCAAUCGAAAGGAGCAACCGACGCACAAUUGCAAAAAAUGGCAACCACACACAUGUUGCGGGAAUGUAGGGAUUCCUCUAACUAACCAUUGAGGUUAAUUUGGCUUAACACUCUGAAUUGCAUCACGUUUCUACCAUUAUUGUGCCGAAGUGCUAGGAUUUUGUCGUGGUUGUUCUCACAGUGAGGGUGCUCCUACUUGGCAAGGUACUAAGACUUGUUUCUUUUGCCUACAUGACAAGUCUAUUAAACACCUAUGUUAACUUUGAUGGUAGGUUUAAUCAUGCAACAUAGGCCAUAAAUCAAAUAGAUUCAAAACCUUACACCUCCCCCAUGUAGUGUGUGUAAUAUGUUCGACAACUCGCGACGGGGUGCCGACAAACAUUUUUCUGCAUGUAUUCUUGUGGGACUGCCAACAUUUAUGUUGGACUUUUGUUUCAUCAUGGAUGUCCAUGUAAUCUUCAGAUAAGAUCUAACCCAUCUUCCCAUGCAAGUAUCUCGGCCUUUCACUAUCCAUAAGGAAGCUCACGACGGCACAAUAUCAAGGCCUUGUGGAUCAUCUCGUAGCGCGCCUACCAUCUUGGAAGUCAGCAGGCCUUCCCAAGAGCGAUCACUUAUUGCUGGUACAAUCCGUUCUCUCGACAAUCCUGAUCCACUCAAUGUUGGCCCUUGAUCUGGCUCUAAAGACUUUGGUUGCCCUAAUCAAGAUAUGCCGCAAAUUCCUUUGGGUCGGCAAGGCAGAUGCGCGAGGAGGUGCAUGUGCGAUGGCCUGGGAGAGAGUGUGCACUCCUAGGUGCGUCAGACGCCUAGGUAUCCUUGACAUGUGAUGGAUGAAUGUGGCCCUUCGGGCCAAGUGGUUGUGGUUGAGUAGGUCUGACCAGGAUAAGCCUUGGUCGGAGUUCGCUUUCUCUGUGCCAAAGGAGUCCCGACAGUUAUUCCUGGCAGCGGUGCGAGGAGUCGUUGGCGAUGGGAGGAAUACAUUAUUCUGGGAGGGUAGAUGGCUUAGUGGUUACCGGAUGCAGGAGCUUGCGCCACGGAUUUGCGAGCAGAUUCCAGUAAGAACGAGGAGGUCAAGAACGGUGUAUGAGGCAAUCGUUGAGGAGAGAUAGGCCCGAGAUAUUGGGCCAGCGCUAGGCGAGGCAACCCUUGCGAAGUACCUGGGUAUCUGGCCCGGGGUUGCGGUGGUCUAGCUGGACGAGCAAUGUGAUGAUCGUUUCAUCUGGUUCUGUGAGAAGAACAAGAAGUUUUCGGCCAAAUCUGCCUAUGCAGCCAAGUUUGCAGGGCGAGAAGUCUCGCCCAUCUUGGAAUUCACAUGGCACUCACGGACCUCGCUUAGGUACAUAUUAAUUCUUCUCAUGGCUAGCAAUCAUGAACUGGUGCUGGACUUCAGAUAGAUUGGCACGAAGAGGCAGCCACACCAACACUCGUGCCCUUUUUGCAAUCAGCAUGAUGAGACGAUUGGCCAUCUACUUAUCGAGUGUCCUCUCCCACGGGAGGUAUGGGCAAAGUUCUUCUCCGCCCAAGGUAUUCUGCAUGGCGAGCCGCAACUAGGAGAGACACUGCACGGCUGAUACACUAGGCAGGGUAUGCAGGGAAAAAGUGCCAAGAUGGUUUGGACCAUAUGCCCCCUUGCCAUGUGGGAAAUAUGGAAGCAUAGAAAUGCCAUAGUCUUUGACGGAGAGAUGGCCUGCCCACGACAUGUUCUACGCUGGACCGCGAGUUAUAGCAUGGUGUGGAUGCAGACGGCUCUACUUCGAGGAAACCUGCAGGCAUUCUUCGUGGCAGCGCUGGAAUGGGCGCAUAGUGAGUAGUGUGUAUAACAUACUUGAGGUGGAGGGCGGCGUAACGCCAUGUAACCCCUGAUGUAACUAAACUGCGGAGGGCUCCCCCCUCUCCUUCCUUCUAUAAUAUAUGAUACGCACACUCGUGCGUAUUCGAUGAAAAAAGAAUCUAACCCAUCUUAGGCUGAUUUUUUUUUCUGCGAAACAAUAUUUUCUUUUGGUUAUGUUAAUAGUCUUAACUGUGUGCAUCAUCACGUUUUGCAGCAGUCAGACAUUUGUUCAAUGUGAUUGUAUCACCUUGAUAUAUCGAUUGAAUGAAAUUGUCUUUUAUUAGUAAAAAAUAGUUGUAUUGAAGUCAUCAUAACUUAAUCCCAUGGGGUAGAUGGUUAAAUGUUUUCACUUAACAAAAUAAUUUCUAGUGUGCCCAUAACUAGUGUAAUAGAUGGACAGAAAUAAAUAGACUGGAAAUGCCAUGAACAAGCCAUGAAUAGAAAAGGUUGGGUUUAUCUACAUCAGUUAUCAGUUUAGUGUGUUCUAUGUACUUGACAAUCCAAGAAUUAGCAAUAGAGCCCUCUGUAUUAAGAGUAUAUUUCAGUCAGUCCUCAACUGCUGUCCAUGUUAUUUACUAGUUCCGGUAGUGAUCUUAAGCAUCGUCUAUAAACUAUUACUUAGUCUAGACGUCCCUAUAGAGACCUAUCGGACAUCAAAGAAAAUCCAUUUUAAAGGAUACGCGGAUAGACUCGGUAAACCGCCGACAAUGAAGUGGCACCAACAAAUAUUUUAGUUUUAUAAAUCUGAAAGGAAUGUAUCUUUUCGAUAAAGGUCUGAAAAAGAAAAUAGGUACCUAUACUCAUCCAUGCAUAGGCAAGAAGUUUUCUUUAUGUGAAGCAUAUCUCUGAAAGGGCUUAUAAUAAUUUUGCUUGUGCACCUCAUACAACUCUACCUAAUAUAUACAUAUUCUCAAAUUUGUAAGAUAUCACUGACUUCUCUCAACCAUUGAAUAGGUCAUCAUUUUUCUUAACUUGCACGCAAUGUCCACGAAUUGAGUAAGCAUAUGCAUAACUAAGAGUCUACGCUGUUUCAUGGAGCCUAUCACAAACGACUGAAUGUUUAGUGGAAAAAUCUCUUGGGUGGAAUCCUAAACCCCUUGAAAAAUAUACUGAAAAAUAUAAUGGCAAUCACCAUGGGGCGUCGGCAGAUCACAGUCAUUAUAAUAACCGCUUGUACACCCAAAUACAACUCUACCUGGUAUAUGCAUAUUCUCAAAUUCGUAAUAUAUCACUGACUUCCCCACCGUCGAAUAGGUCACCAUUUUUCUUAACGUGCACACAAUGUCCAUGAAUUGAGUAAGUGUAUGGGUAACUAAGAGACCGCACUGUUACACAUAGCUUAAUCACAAACGGCUAAAUAUUUAUUGGGAAAAUCUCUUGGGUGGAACCCUAAACCCCUUGAAAAUCUAUUAUAUAAUUAAAACAAAAGACAAACAAGCCAUAUGUGUUCCCAUACAUUGAAUUAUCUUGACCGUAUUUUUAAAUAAUAACACAUGUGAUUUAAAAUAUGUAUUGUUACAUAUAAAUUUUAUCAUGAGCAAACAGUUUAUAGUGUCACGUAGCUCAUACUAAUAGUUCAAUAUGUCUCGAGUUCUUAAAGAAAAACUGGCAUGUCACUAGAAAUCAGUCUGAUACCUUAGGAUCUUUUUUUGCGGGUAAAACUGGGAAGCUUUAUUCAACACACAUCAUCCGGGCAUGAUCUUCGAGGAGACUAGUUAGAAGAAUAAUAGGACUAGAGUUCAACCAGCAAUCCGUUACCUCCAAUGUGCUAGCUUGCUUAGAACAUAAGUGGGCACACGUGCUAGCUGAUUUUGCAACAUUUUGAAUGAAAUACAAACUAAACAGUAAGGCGAGCUCUCCAUCUUAGUUAAGAUAUGCGUCAGCACAGUCCGAGUAUUGAGGCACGAAUACCAGAGAUUGACAAUCUUCAAACAAUCUGUCGCCACAACGACCUUCUCGUGACCCCGAAGCUUUGAAAAGAGGACCCCGUCUCGAACAGCCAAAGCUUCAGCGACAAACGGAUCGCUAAAACCAGGGUACGGUUUAGACCAAGCAGGCAUGAAGGAGGAACAGGCUCGGACAACACCACCCACCCCACCCACCCCUGCUAGCCUCCAUAGCGUGCUUCCAUCUGUAUUGAUCUUCAUGAUUCCUUAGGUUGAUAUAGAAAAUAAGAAGUACCUUACCUUGAAUUGGCAAAGCAUGACAACCAAGAGUAUUCGGCAGCCAAGUCCAAUUUAGAAAGAAAGAGAAAAAACUACCUUAUGUAGGGAGGAGCACCAAGUGAACUACCUUAUGUAGGGAUGAGUCAUGAGCAAACACCCCUACCCCACAACAAAGAAGUGUCCGCAUCUCAAAAAAUUAGGAGUGUCCCAGCAAAAUAUGCGUGCUAAUCUCUCUAGGGAAAAAGAGAAGACGUGUGUGCUCCUCCUUUUUCUGCGGACACAAAAAAAAAAGUACGGAGUCCUGCUUAGUUCACUUAGUGCUCCAGUACUUGGGGAUAAGAAAUCUUUCUCUACGCAGAUUGAAGAAUAUAUCUCAUAAAAAAUGAAAAUUAGUUGUUUAUACAUAUACUAAAUCGUGGAUGAAAAAAUGAGGCGACAUACCUGAUUGGCAUAAUACAUUUUUUUAUGCUAAAUUAGUUCUGCACUAUGAUAUUAGCUGUAUUAAAUCAUGGAUGGACAACUGAGACACGAAAUACGAAAUACAUAAAGAUAAAAGUGCCAGCAUUUUAUAUUCUUUCUCUCAAAAAGUUACUGAUAACCAUAGUGGCUGUUCUAAUUUGAAUCGCUGAGAUCCAAAAAUAAAUAGAAAGAAAUCAUGCUUGCAAGUGAUUCAGUAUAAAUUAAGUAUUCCUCAUGAAAAAAUAAUACGUCAUGAGAAAGACCACGUGAGAGCAUCUGCAGUGAAAUGCAUAAGAAAAAUAAUGCACGUGAAAGCAUCUGUAGUGAACCUAUUUACAAAAAUUGACCACUAACAUAUGCAAAAGUAUCCGGGUUGGACAAUUAAAAAUAACAAAGAACGUUGUACUGACUACAUAAUAAUAAUUAUUCACUAGUGGGGACAGGGUCUAUAGUCCCGGCCCGUAAGGGGCUUUAGUCCCGGUUCACCAACCGGGACCAAAGAGGCGGAACUAAAGGCCUAACCUUUAGUCCCGGCCCUGUUCCAAGCCGGGACCAAAGGUGCUCCAUGUGGGCGCCUCGGAGCGCCCUCACGGGCAGGCCCUUUAGUCCCGGGUCUUAACACGGACCGGGACUAAAGAGUUUCUUCAGAUUUUGUUUGUUUUAGGGUUUUAGGGUUUUAGGGUUUAGGUGUUCGGGAGAUUAACGUGAUGCCUCGUUUGGCAUUCGGGAAUUAGUUUUCAUAUAAUUCUAAAUAUACAUGUUUAUGUAUAUAUAUAAGAUUAACUUAUCUUACAAGCGAGCAUAUAUAUACAAUUAUAUGGAGAUCUGAAUUAUCGGGACUAGAGCCCGUUUAUUUAAUUCCAUGGACCAACAUCAGUAAUGGCCCCUAGCUACACUAAAUCAUCCUUUGUCAUCUAUAGCUUCCGUCCUCAGAAAGGUCGCAAGCUCCUCUACAACAGCAAUCGCGCGUUGCUCUGGUAGGUACUUCUCCCUCAUGGCCGUGUACUAUAUAAGAAGAGGAGAUGAAUAUGAAUAUCAAUAAUGAUAACAAAGAAUGGCGGGUAAAAAUAGAGGUGUGAAUGUUCAUUGCUUACGUCGUAUCUAUAAUCCUUGUGCUCAGAGGUAAACGUGCGAAUGGUCUCGCAAACAUAGUAUCCGCAUAGAUGCGUCCCCCGUGGCUGCUGGUCGCACUUUACGAGAAUAGAAUAUAAAUAAUCAAAAUAAUAAUCUAGCAUCAUAAAUGUAUUGAAAAUAGAAGUAUAUCAUACUACUACUUACCUGAGGCGCUCUAAAGGUCAGCUUCUCAUGCUCGAUACCGGGAGUCACACACUUGAACCGCUUCCAAACCCUGUCCGACAAGGAAAAUGAUUUGCUAAGUUUUUCAUUAAUUGAUAUAUCAUAAAAUCAUCGAAAGAGACCGAUAGAGCGCAAGAAUGAUUGAAAUUACCCUUGGAGCAUUUCCUGCAGGCUUUGGAACUGUUCGAAGGGUCUCGAUAAUGGGUCGAAGGCAUCAACUCUUCCCUUAUCAAUUUGAAUGUCCAACAGAAUCCAAUGGUAGCUACACAUGUAUAUAUAUAUACAUGUGUAGCUACCAUUGGAUUCUGUUGGACAUUCAAAUUGAUAAGGGAAGAGUUGAUGCCUUCGACCCAUUAUCGAGACCCUUCGAACAGUUCCAAAGCCUGCAGGAAAUGCUCCAAGGGUAAUUUCAAUCAUUCUUGCGCUCUAUCGGUCUCUUUCGAUGAUUUUAUGAUAUAUCAAUUAAUGAAAAACUUAGCAAAUCAUUUUCCUUGUCGGACAGGGUUUGGAAGCGGUUCAAGUGUGUGACUCCCGGUAUCGAGCAUGAGAAGCUGANNNNNNNNNNNNNNNNNNNNNNNNNNNNNNNNNNNNNNNNNNNNNNNNNNNNNNNNNNNNNNNNNNNNNNNNNNNNNNNNNNNNNNNNNNNNNNNNNNNNNNNNNNNNNNNNNNNNNNNNNNNNNNNNNNNNNNNNNNNNNNNNNNNNNNNNNNNNNNNNNNNNNNNNNNNNNNNNNNNNNNNNNNNNNNNNNNNNNNNNNNNNNNNNNNNNNNNNNNNNNNNNNNNNNNNNNNNNNNNNNNNNNNNNNNNNNNNNNNNNNNNNNNNNNNNNNNNNNNNNNNNNNNNNNNNNNNNNNNNNNNNNNNNNNNNNNNNNNNNNNNNNNNNNNNNNNNNNNNNNNNNNNNNNNNNNNNNNNNNNNNNNNNNNNNNNNNNNNNNNNNNNNNNNNNNNNNNNNNNNNNNNNNNNNNNNNNNNNNNNNNNNNNNNNNNNNNNNNNNNNNNNNNNNNNNNNNNNNNNNNNNNNNNNNNNNNNNNNNNNNNNNNNNNNNNNNNNNNNNNNNNNNNNNNNNNNNNNNNNNNNNNNNNNNNNNNNNNNNNNNNNNNNNNNNNNNNNNNNNNNNNNNNNNNNNNNNNNNNNNNNNNNNNNNNNNNNNNNNNNNNNNNNNNNNNNNNNNNNNNNNNNNNNNNNNNNNNNNNNNNNNNNNNNNNNNNNNNNNNNNNNNNNNNNNNNNNNNNNNNNNNNNNNNNNNNNNNNNNNNNNNNNNNNNNNNNNNNNNNNNNNNNNNNNNNNNNNNNNNNNNNNNNNNNNNNNNNNNNNNNNNNNNNNNNNNNNNNNNNNNNNNNNNNNNNNNNNNNNNNNNNNNNNNNNNNNNNNNNNNNNNNNNNNNNNNNNNNNNNNNNNNNNNNNNNNNNNNNNNNNNNNNNNNNNNNNNNNNNNNNNNNNNNNNNNNNNNNNNNNNNNNNNNNNNNNNNNNNNNNNNNNNNNNNNNNNNNNNNNNNNNNNNNNNNNNNNNNNNNNNNNNNNNNNNNNNNNNNNNNNNNNNNNNNNNNNNNNNNNNNNNNNNNNNNNNNNNNNNNNNNNNNNNNNNNNNNNNNNNNNNNNNNNNNNNNNNNNNNNNNNNNNNNNNNNNNNNNNNNNNNNNNNNNNNNNNNNNNNNNNNNNNNNNNNNNNNNNNNNNNNNNNNNNNNNNNNNNNNNNNNNNNNNNNNNNNNNNNNNNNNNNNNNNNNNNNNNNNNNNNNNNNNNNNNNNNNNNNNNNNNNNNNNNNNNNNNNNNNNNNNNNNNNNNNNNNNNNNNNNNNNNNNNNNNNNNNNNNNNNNNNNNNNNNNNNNNNNNNNNNNNNNNNNNNNNNNNNNNNNNNNNNNNNNNNNNNNNNNNNNNNNNNNNNNNNNNNNNNNNNNNNNNNNNNNNNNNNNNNNNNNNNNNNNNNNNNNNNNNNNNNNNNNNNNNNNNNNNNNNNNNNNNNNNNNNNNNNNNNNNNNNNNNNNNNNNNNNNNNNNNNNNNNNNNNNNNNNNNNNNNNNNNNNNNNNNNNNNNNNNNNNNNNNNNNNNNNNNNNNNNNNNNNNNNNNNNNNNNNNNNNNNNNNNNNNNNNNNNNNNNNNNNNNNNNNNNNNNNNNNNNNNNNNNNNNNNNNNNNNNNNNNNNNNNNNNNNNNNNNNNNNNNNNNNNNNNNNNNNNNNNNNNNNNNNNNNNNNNNNNNNNNNNNNNNNNNNNNNNNNNNNNNNNNNNNNNNNNNNNNNNNNNCUCAUGCUCGAUACCGGGAGUCACACACUUGAACCGCUUCCAAACCCUGUCCGACAAGGAAAAUGAUUUGCUAAGUUUUUCAUUAAUUGAUAUAUCAUAAAAUCAUCGAAAGAGACCGAUAGAGCGCAAGAAUGAUUGAAAUUACCCUUGGAGCAUUUCCUGCAGGCUUUGGAACUGUUCGAAGGGUCUCGAUAAUGGGUCGAAGGCAUCAACUCUUCCCUUAUCAAUUUGAAUGUCCAACAGAAUCCAAUGGUAGCUACACAUGUAUAUAUAUAUAUAUAUGUGUGUGUGUCAAUAACUUAUCAAUUACACUUAUAAGUGAAUGGACACAACAGAGUAAAGACCCUCACUUGAAGUUGUAUGGAAACAGUAUGUGGUCACAGAAAUUUUGACCUGUUAGAAACCUUAGAAGGUUUUCCUCCGUCUCCUUGGGUUUAUCAGUUAGCGUCGCUAUAUUUAUUUUAUCUAGGUCAAUAAACCCAAUAUUUAGGAUGUUCCUACUUUUACAUUCCAGAAUCUUCAUUCUGCAUAAUAGAGUACAAGUUAUAUGUAGACAAUAAAUUAAAAUAACUAAACAAGUUAUAUGUAGACAACGAAUUGAAAAACUUACACACAAUAGCAACUCAUAAGCGAUUUGUCGAGGGCGUCGGCAUUGUACAUCUCGAAGAGUUCAUCAAAGUCGAUAUGGAUUUCUUCGGGGCGGCCGUAGCACUCCCGUGGGACACGCGCCACGAUCAUCGUUCUCCCAUUCUUUGAUUCACUUAAGUACCAUGUAUGCAAGUAACGCAUAUUUGUUGGGAGAUCAUCAAACUUAUCUUUGCUAACCAAAGGCGCUCCCAUGACAAACUGUGGCAUAGGGGCCACCAUAGCCUUGGGUAACCUGUCGUCUUGGGAAGCCAGAACGUCUUCAACCGGGAUACCCCAUUCAUCCGCCCACUUCUUUGCUAAUUCCAAAUCUUUCCCCUGCACCAGAGAGGGAACAUUCUCGGGUAACACCCUCAGGGGUAGGAUCGACUAUUUGGCCUGUUGUCCAAGCUGAGGAACGUCUGAUCUUUUUUUGCUUGUAGUUGAACUUGAUUUGCUCCCACUUGCACUUGCACGUGAUCUGCUCUUUUUCCCUUCCUUCUGCAAUGUGCGUGUAUAGUCAUCAGGCUUAUGGUGUAAGUCAUACUGUGAUGGAAGGGUCGUGAAGUAUUUUGCAUAUGUUAUUUGCUUCUCGGUGUAUUCCGGGCGGGGCUCGGGUUCCUUCUUUUUCAUCUGCGCAUCAUAAUGUACCUUUGCUAUCCUGGCAUUUUCCUCGUCGGUAUGAUCAUAAGGUCUGAUAGGAAGAUUAGCAUGAGGUACCUUUGGGAGGGGCGACAGUUUGGGCUUUGGGGAGCUCCAUCGCUUAGAACUCAUCGACGGAGCGUUCUUGCUGGCACGCUUCCGCUUAGUAUCCUUAGCGGGCGGCGGCGGAGACGGACGACCCAAGUCCGGCGGCGGUGAUCGAGAUGGACUCGUGUUGUGCUGGCCAUCGUCAUGUGGAGGGCUUGGAGGUGAUGGAGGUGUAGGUGACCUGCGACGACUCGGAGGCGGUGUUGUCCUUGGGGCCGAGCCUGGAAGCUUGAUGUAGUUCUUGUCCCAUAGGAUGACCCCACCCAGUACUUCUCCGAGUGUCCUCUCAUCUUCGGGUCCAGCUAUGUCGAGCUCCAUAUCAUGAAACCCCGCCAUGAUUUCAUCCAUCCCGACUUUAGCAAAGCCAGCUGGAAUCUCACGGCCAUGCCAGCGUGCAUCAGGGCCAGAAGGUAAAGCUUGUCCGAUGGCCACCUUCAUGGAUAUGUUCUUGAAUUUCUGAUGGAGUUCACAUGAUGUUGACUCCUUGAUUCCAUCCACGGGGUAGCCGGGACCGCCCUCUAUCAUUCUUCGUGCAUCGUUGGGCGGGGCCUCAGAUUCAGCCACGCUGCUUUUCCACUUAGAUGGGGCGCCGGUAAUAUCGAGCGCAGGAUCUUCCUGGCGCGCUACUCCUCUAAGCUCAUCAAUCUGCUUCUAUUGCUUGUUAAGCCUGGCAAGCAACUGGUUAAACUUGUCAUUCUCCUCAUCCUGCUGUCGCUUCUUUGCUCUCGCUCGGCUUCUGUAAGUGUCUUGGUCUCUGGGAAACCCAAGCCACCACGGGUAAGAAGGACCGAAGCCUCGCGUUCGUCCUCCAUGUUCGUCAUUGUCGAGGACCACUGUGAGAAAAUCUUUCUCUCUAUCUGCAGUGAACUGUCUUUUUCCCUCCUUAAUUUUUUCACUAUCUUUUUCCAAUUCUCCCUGGGUAUCCUAAGACCGUCACUGCAGAUGAGGUCCCCUGUUUCUUCGUCGUAUGAACCACCAUGCGCAAGGAACCAAUUUCUUGCUCUCAAUUCCCACUCAUCACGGAUGGGUUCAGGUAUGAUGCCUUUAGCUAGCAGAUCUUUCUCUUUCUUAUCCCACUUUCGGAUGGCAGACUCAUAGCCCCCUGGCCCCAGCGUGUGGUGAUAUUUCUUCUUGUCGGCAUUUUUCUUGUUCUUUUUUGAUAAUGCCUUGGCAUCUUCUGACUCCUUGUACUCUUGAAAUGCCUUCCAGUGAUUCGCCUGCUUGGCUAGAUACCCCUCGAAUACUGGCACUUUCUUUGUCUUCCGAUAGUUUUUCAUAGCUUCUUCUUCCAGCUACAGAACAGUUCGACCAUCUUCUUUAGAGUCCACUGCUUGACUUUGGCCAUCAGUUUGUCUGCGGCGUCUUCAUUCUCACAUUCUGACAGGUUGAAAUGUGACAUGAGAUCAUUCCAAAGAUUAUCUUUGUACCUUUCGGUGACAUAGUCACUAUCGGCUGCCCCUUUGCGCUUGUUGCACUCCCGAACGCUGAUCGGGACGUGAUCCCUAACGAGAACUCCGCAUUGCUUCUUGAAUGUGUCAGCAGCAUUCUUAGGAAGCUUGGGUUCGCCCGUAGGCAAUAUCACCUCAAAGGUGUAAUGCAUCCGUGCAUCCAACUUUUUAGUCGGGCCUCGUUUCGUAGCUUUGCUCGAUGUGGAGGCUUAAGAGGGAGAAACAUUCGUCAAAUGAAUGUAUAUGUAUACAAUAUAGAGCUAUCUCCAAUAUUUUUCACAUAUUACAAGUGAUUGUCGAAGUUCAUAUGUAUACCUCGCCGGACUUUAUUAGUUCUCCACCGGCUUCUCCAUCAGUGGAGCUAUCACCUUCUCCAUCAUUGGAGCUAUCUCCUGCCCCAUCGGCUUCAUCUUCGUGUCCGUCGACUUCCAUUCCAUAUCCGGAGGGGUUUAGAUAUGACGACGGAGAUUCAGCUGGUUCAACGUCGGGGCCGUCUUUGAUUAUAUCUUCGAGAAGUUCUUCCUCUUCGAGGUUCCUAAUAUGUGGAUCCAUAGUUCUGCAAAAAACGAACAUUUGGUUAACUAAUAAACUAACAAACUAUAUAUGAUGCAAAAUAAUUCUAUUUCUAUUUGCAAAUAAAUUCUAACUAAAUAAUUCUAAGUAAAAUAAUUCUAUCUCUAUUUGCAAAUAAAUUCUAACUAAAUAAUUCUAACUAAAAUAAUUCUAUUUCUAUUUGCAAAUAAAUUCUAACUAAAUAAUUCAUGACUUCAUCAUUACCUAGUAGUAAUAGGAGCAUGAUGCUAUGAAGCUUUAUAAAGUUGUUUUGUAACGGAAUCCCGAAUAGGAUAAUUAGCUUUGUGGUACGCAGUUCAAAAAGAGCCAUCCGAAUAUCGCUAUUUGGAAGGACUUUGUUGAACUUUGUACCAAAAAAGAAUUAUUCUAUUAGGAACUCCGUUCCAAAACAACUUUCGAGAGGUUGAUAGCGCCAUGCGUCUGUUACUACCAGGUAAUGAUGAAGCCAUGGACCGACCCUAAACUAACUUACUUAAAUUUACAUAGCCCUAAACUAGCUAACACUAACCUAAUUAACACUAGUUUAUAUGUUUAAUUGAUGUUUGUAGUGAUUUAAGUGAUAUUUGUAGAUUGUAGAUUUGUAUAUGCUUAAACACUAACUGUGACCUAAACUAAAAGGCCCUAAACUAACUUACUAAAAUUUACAUAACCCUAAACUAACAAUAACCUAUUAAUUAACACUAACUACCUAACCCUAAUAACACAAAUUUAAAUGACACAAAAAUAACACAAAUAACCUAUUUAACACUAACCUACCUAACCCUAAAUUCACCAAAUAUUCUACAAAUAACACUUAAGCAUAUACAAUAGCAAAAUUAAGCAAUAAUCUAAAAAACACUAAUUAAGCAUCUAUAUAUGUACAAAAUUACAUAAGCAUGCAUGCAUGUUGACGAUCGAUCAAGAGAGGAGAGGAGAGAGGCUCACCAGCGGCAGGGGGUGUUGGAUCGAGGAGGAAGGGAGGGCGACGACGACGGCGAGGAGGACGGCAAGGCGACGACGAUGGCGAGGAGGACGGCAGGGCGCGACGACGAGGAGGACGGCAGGGCGACGGCGACGGCGACAACAAGGAGGACGGCAGGGCNNNNNNNNNNNNNNNNNNNNNNNNNNNNNNNNNNNNNNNNNNNNNNNNNNNNNNNNNNNNNNNNNNNNNNNNNNNNNNNNNNNNNGGUGUCGAGCAGUUCGUCCGAUGCUGCAGGCGAGCGAGAGGAGGAAGAAAGAUUGAAAUGGCGAUUUGGGUUGGAAAUUUCCAACUCCCGCUUAUAUAGGUGGAGCUUUAGUCCCGGGUCGGGGCUCGAACCGGGACUAAAGACACCCUUUUUGGCAGGCGAGGAGGCGGGAAACGAGGGGCUUUAGUCCCGGGUCGGGGCUCGAACCGGGACUAAAGGCUGUGUUUAGUCCCAGGUCUAGCCACGACCCGGGGCUAAAGACCCCUUUUCGGCAGGCGAGGAGGCGGGAAACGAGGGGCUUUAGUCCCGGGUCGUGGCUCCACCAGGGACUUAAGGUGGUCUUUAGUCCCGGUUCGAGCCCCGAACCGGGACUAAAGACCUGGGCUGGCUUCGGGGUGACGCAGGGCAACCUUUAGUCCCACCUCACCUAGCGAGGGGCGCUGGCAGUGCUUUAUAAGCACUCUCGCACUUUGCUCAAUUGAGCUUCUCUCUAUUGAAGGCAUGUGGGCCUAACUCUCAUCUCGCUGUCUGUUGGUCCUAUUGGCCCCCGGACCUUCAUCCUGGCCCACCUGUCGGGUAGGGUUUCUAGUCGUAUGCAGGUCGUGAUGACCCAAUAGGCGGCAUUUGUUUUUUUACUUUAAUAAUUUUUAGUCCUAGUUUAUAUUUUAAUUCUUUGCUAUUCAAUAUUUUUUUCUCUUCUAUUUUAGUUUUCUAUUGAGUUGAUUUGUUUUUGUUUCUUUUAGUUAAUGUUUUACUUGAUUCUUUCUAACAAAUAAGCACUUUGAAAAUUUUAGUAAAUUAUUCUUAAUUCAUUCAUUUUAGUUAAUGUUUUAGUUGAUUCUUUUUAGUUGACUCUUUUUUUGUUUUCUAUUAAAUAUUUUAACAAAAAAACUUUAUGAAAUUUCUGACUUCAUUUGAUAUUUUUUGUGCAUUUACUUAUUCUUUUGAGCUAGUUGACCCUGAAAUGGAAAAACACUACAAAUGAACUCUAAAAAUGUUGAAAGUUGGCAUGGUAUCAUCAUUUCACCCACAUAGCAUGUGCUAAAAGGUUGAGAGGGUUACGGCAAAAAUUGGAUACACUUCGUGUGCAAAACGGACAAUAUCUCUCGAAGUAUCAUGGUUUCGAACAAGAACUCAUCUAUUACAAAGUGAUUUCAUUUUUUUGAACUUAUUUGAACUCCAUACUUUUUGUGUGUUCAAAAUGCACCAUUCAAACGCACAUCACAAACUUUCAACAAUUUCUGACUUCAUUUGGUAUUUUUCGUGCAUUUACUUUUUUUUAGCUAGUUGACCCUGAAAUUGAAAAACACUACAAAUGAACUCUGUGUUGAAAGUUGGCAUGGUAUCAUCAUUUCAUGCACAUUCCAUGUGCUAAGAAGUUGAGAGGGUUACGACAAAAACUGGAUACACUUCGUGUACAAAACGGACAAUCUCUCUUGAUGUAUCAGCAUCUCGAACGUGAACUCAUCUGUUACAAAGGGAUUUCAUUUUUUUGAACUUACUUGAACUCCAUACUUUUUGUGUGUUCAAAAUGCACCAUUCAAAGGCACAUCACAAAAUUUCAACAAUUUCUAACUUCAUUUGGUAUUUUUCAUGCAUUUACUUAUUUUUUUGAGCUAGUUGACCAUAAAAUUGAAAAGCACUACAAAUGAACUCUAAAAAUGUGGAAAGUUGGAAUGGUAUCAUAAUUUCACCCACAUAGCAUGUGCUAAAAAGUGGAGAGGGUUACGAUAAAAACUGGAUGCACUUCGUGUACAAAACAGACAAUCUCUCUCGAAGUAUGAGGGUUUCGAACGAGAACUCAUCUAUUACAAAGGGAUUUCAUUUUUUGAACUUAUUUGAACUCCAUACUUAUUGUGUGUUUAAAAUGCACCAUUCAAAGGCACAUCAAAAAAUUUCAACAAUUUCUGACUUAAUUUGGUAUUUUUCGUGCACUUACUUUUGUUUUUUUGGGCUAGUUGACCCUAAAAUUGAAAAGCACUACAAAUGAACUCUGAAAAUGUUGAAAAUUGGCAUGCUGUCAUCAUUUCACCCACAUAGCAUGUGUUAAAAAGUUGAGAGGGCUACGACAAAAACUGGAUGCAUUUCGUGUACAAAACGGACAAUCUCUCUUGAAGUAUCAGGGUUUCGAACGAGAACUCAUCUCUUACAAAGGGAUUUCAUUUUUUUGAACUUAUUUAAACUCCAUACUUUUUGUGUGUUCAAAAUGCACCACUCAAAGGCACAUCACAAAUUUUCAAUAAUUUCUUACUUCAUUUGGUAUUUUUCGUGCAUUUACUUAUUUUUGUUGAGCUAGUUGACCCUGAAAUUCAAAAGCACUACGAAUGAACUCUCAAAAUGUUGAAACCUGGCAUGGAAUCAUCAUACUGCUCAGGCGGGGACCUUCAUACUACUCAGGCAUUCAAAAAAGAUUUCCUUCUCUGCUUUGGUAAGAGCAUAGCUGCUUAAGUAUUGACGCACUUUAUCAGUCUUCUUGUCGUAUGGGUCUUUCAUACGUUGGUGCUCCUCCCGUGCUUCUGUUGUAUCUUUUGUCUUUCUAUACACUCCCAGGAAGCCUAGCAGGUUCACGCAAAGAUUCUUCUUCACGUGCAUCACGUCGAUUGAAGACCGGACCUCUAGUUGUUUCCAAUAGGGUAGCUCCCAAAAUAAAGAUUUCUUUUUCCACAUGGGCACGUGUCCGGUAAUGUCGUCUUUCGGAACUGAUUGACCGCGAGGACCCUUUCCAAAGAUUACUAUUUGAUCCAAAUCCUUGACCAUAGCCAAUAACUCAUCACAAGUAGGGAGGUUAGGCUUCUUCCGGUGAUCUGCCUCACCGUUGAAAUGCUUGCCUUUCUUUCUUACGGUAUGACUGGUCGGAAGAAAUUGACGACACACCAGGUAGACAACCUUCUUAGAUUUUCCCAAAUAUGUACCUUUACUCUUAUCUAAACAGUGCGUGCAUGCAUUGUAUCCCUUGUUUGAUUGUCCUAAAAUGUUACUAAGAGCAGGCCAAUCAUUGAUGGUUACGAACAACAAUGCUCAUAGGUCAAAUUCCUGUUCUUUGUGCUCAUCCCACACACGUACACCUGGUGGGCCCACAACUGCAAAAGUUCAUCAACUAAUGGCCUUAGGUACACAUCAAUGUCGUCGCAGGGUUGCUUCGGUCCUUUAGUCCCGGUCUGUGGUACGUGCCGGGACUAAAGGCCUAUUUUCUGUUUUCUUAUUUUAUUUGUUUUUGCAUAUUUGAGAAUAUAAAUAGUAAUCUGUUUGCAUAUUUGAGAAUUUGACAAAACUAUGAAAAUGAAAAGUGUUUGAAAUUGAAUAAAUAAUUCAAAACUAUUUUCUAUUUUCAAAAUUAAUUAUUUUGACUAUCCAAACUAUUAACUAUUUUGUAAUUUUCAAUUAAAUACUAUGUUUAUUAAAAUUCUUUUUGCAUAUUUGAGAAUUUGACAAAACUAUGAUAAUAAAAAGUGUUUGAAAUUGAAUAAAUAAUUCAAAACUAAAAGGUUUAGUACAUUCCAUACAUGCAUUACAUAAAAGGUUUAAUACAUUAUUACAUUAUUGCACCAAUAUUCCUACAUAUUAUUUCUGUUUUCUUCUCGGUUAACCAUGGAGAAUCUUCAUCAUUCAGUGGGAUGCUUGGGUCAGUUUUCACUUUGAAGGGCGGAAUUUCAUGAAACUUAUUAUAAUCUACUGACAUGUCUGUCUUGUCAUCUACUCCCACGAUGUUUCUUUUCCCUCAAAGAACUAUGUCGCAUUUUGGCUCAUCGGACGAUAUCUUCUUUUGCUGAUUUCUUUUUAUCGUUUUUGUAGACAUGUCCUUCACAUAGAAAACCUGAGCGACAUCAUUGGCUAGGACAAAUGGUUCGUCCAUGUACGCAAGAUUGUUGAGAUCCACUGUUGUCAUGCCGUACUUUUGGUCUACAACUACCCCGCCUCCUGUCAGCUUCACGCAUUUGCACCGAAACAAAGGGAUCUUAAAAGUAGGUCCAUAGUCAAGUUUCCAUAUCUCCUCUAUGUACCCGUAAUAUGUUUCCAAACAGUGCCAAUUCUCGUCUGUUGCAUCAAAGCGGACACACUAUUUUGGUUGGUGCUCUUUUUAUCUUGGGCAACCGUGUAAAAUGUAUUCCCAUUUAUCUCAUACCCUUGGAAAGUACAUAUAGUCGAAGAUGGUGACCUGGCCAAACAGUACAGUUGAUCUCCAACGGUGUCGUCAUUUAUGAGAUGUAUCUGCAACCAACUUCCGAAAGUCUUCUCGUGUUCCCCUUUAAUCCAAGAGUCAGCCUUCCCCGGGUUUUUAGAGCGUAGAAUAUUCUUGUGUCUCACGAUAUACGGAGCCACCACGGUGGAAUUGUGUAGAACUGUGUAGUGUUCUUGAGAGAAAGAAUGCCCGUCCAUACAUACUUUUGCUUUCCUUCCUAGUGUGCCUUUUCCUGUCAGCCUACCCUCAUACCGAGAUUCAGGAACACCAAUCGGCUUAAGGUCAGGAAGAAAGUCCACACAAAACUCAAUGACCUCCUCUGUUCCAUAGCCCUUGGAGAUGCUUCCUUCUGGCCUAGCACGGUUACGAACAUAUUUCUUUAAGACUCCCAUGAACCUCUCGAAGGGGAACAUAUUGUGUAGAAACACAGGACCGAGAAUUCUAAUCUCUUCGACUAGGUGAACUAGGAGGUGUGUCAUCAUAUUGAAGAAGGAUGGCGGGAACAACAACUCAAAGCUGACCAGACAUUGGACCACAUCAAUCUGUAACCCUGAUAGACUUUCUCGAUCGAUUACCUUAUGAGAAAUUGCAUUGAGGAAUGCACAUACCUUCACAAUUGCCAGGCGAACAUUUUCCGGUAGAAUUCCCCUCAAUGCAAUCGGAAGAAAUUGCGUCAUAAGCACGUGGCAGUCAUGAGACUUUAGGUUUUGAAAGUUUUUGUCUUUCAUAUUUACGAUUCCCUUUAUAUUCGACGAGAAGCCAGUCGGGACCUUGAUGCUGAAAAGGACUUCAAAGAAGAUUUCCUUCUCUUCCUUAGUAAGAGCGUAGCUGGCACGCCCUUGAAACUGCCCUGGAUGCAUGCCAUCUCUUCCUUUAUGACGUUCCUGGUCCUCCCGUGCUUCCGGUGUAUCGUCUUUUGACUUCCCAUACAAGCCCAGGAAGCCUAGAAUAUUCACACAGAGAUUCUACGUCAGGUGCAUCACGUCGAUUGCCGAGCGGACCUCAUGGACUUUCCAGUAGGGUAGCUCCCAAAAUAUAGAUUUCUUCUUCCACGUGGGUACGCGCUUAUCAGGGCCGUUAGGAACAGGUUGGCUGCCAGGACCCUUUCCAAAGAUUACUUUUAAAUCUUUGACCAUAUCAAAUACUUCAGCACUAGUACGGAUGACAGGCUUCCCCCGGGGUUCUGCCUUGCCAUUGAAAUGCUUGCCUUUUUUCUUUAAGGGAUGCUUGGGCGGAAGAAAACGACGAUUUUACGGGUACACAUUCUUCCUACAUUUGUCCAGAUAUAUACUUUCUGUCUGAUCCAAACAGUGCGUGCAUGCAUUGUAUCCCUUGUUUGAGUGUCCUGAAAUGUUACUAAGAGCAGGCCAAUCAUUGAUGGUUACGAAAAGCAACGCUCGAAGGUCAAAUUCCUCUUGUUUGUGCUCGUCCCACACACGUACACCUGGUUCGGCCCACAGCUGUAAAAGUUCAUCAACUAAUGGCCUUAGGUACACAUCAAUAUCGUUGUCGGGUUGCUUUGGACCUUGGAUAAGCACUGGCAUCAUAAUGAACUUCCGCUUCAUGCACAACCAAGGAGGAAGGUUGUAGAUACAUAGAGUAACGGGCCAGGUGCUGUGACUGCAACUCUGCUCCCCAAAAGGAUUCAUGGCAUCUGUACUCACACCAAACCAUAAGUUCCUUUCGUCACCUGCAAAUCUCAGGAACUCUCUCUCGAUUUUUCUCCACUGCCGACCAUCAGCGGGAUACCUCAACUUAUCGUCUUUCAUACGAUCUUCCAUGUGCCAUCGCAACAACUUCGCAUGAUCUUUAUUUCUGAACAGACGUUUCAACCGUGGUAUUAUAGGAGCAUACCACAUCACCUUGGCAGGAACCCUCUUCCUGGGUGGCUCACCCUCAAUAUCACCAGGGUCAUCUUUUCUGAUCUUAUACCGCAAUGCAGUGCAUACCGGGCAUUUAUCCAUAUUCUCGUACUUCUCACCGCGGUAGAGGAUGCAGUCAUUAGGGCAUGCAUGUAUCUUCUGCACGUCUAAUCCUAGAGGGCAGACAAGCUUCUUUGCUUCGUACGUGCUGGCGGGCAAUUCGUUCUUUCUUGGAAGCAUCUUCUUCAUCAGUACCAGCAAAUUUUCGAAUCACGAGAGUCAGUCACACCGGUCUCUGCCUUCCACUUCAGCAAUUCCAGUGUGCUACCCAGCUUCUUCUGGCCAUCUUCACAAGUUGGGUAAAACAAUUUGUUGUGGUCCUGUAACAUCUGCUCGAACUGCAACCUCUCCUUUUCUGUGUCGCAACCUCGCCGUGCAUCAGAAAUGACCCGGCCAAGAUCAUCAGCGGGCUCAUCUGGUUCCCGUCUUCAUCCUGAUCUUCUUCUUCAUUGUCUUCCAUUGCGGUAUCAGCAUACUCAGGGAACAUAGAUCGGUAGUUGUCAUCAUCGUUCUCUUCUUCUUCAUCAUCGUCUUCCAUCAUAACGCCUCUUUCUCCGUGAUUGGUCCAAACAUUAUAGCCCGACAUAAAACCGGACCGAAGCAGGUGGCUCUGAAUGACUCUUGAGGAAGUGUAAUCCUUCUCAUUCCGACAUUCAACACAUGGACAAAACAUAUAGCCACCACCAUGCUUGUUCGCAUCGGCUGCAUCUCGAAAAGAAUGCAUGCCUUCUCUGUAAGCGGUUGUGCGUCGAUCACCGUACAUCCAUGGAUGGCUCAUCUGCGUUAUACGACAGUAUAUCAAAUACAAUCACGAUCCUAAAAAUUAGUACCGCACGGUCUAAACGAGGAAAUAUAGUUGCUAACCUUUUAGAAUAAGUAGAAAUAAAGAGGAAGAGGUUUAAGCGUGGCUCGGGCAUCUCAUAUCGUAGUUGUGUUCGGUGAACUGAAGCGGCAUCGCUCUAACACACAUUUCAACAAACACCUCUAGUGCAUCCAAGAAAAAUGGAGAGCUAGCACACACCCACACUCUUCCAUCCAAGAAAAAUGCAAGAAAGAGGGGAGAGGGGGGUUGUGGCCAAUAUAUAUAGGCAGAGGACUUUAGUCCCGGUUUGAGACACAAACCGGGACUAAAGGUGACGCACAUGCGGGCUGCACACCGCGUAGCCCUUUAGUCUCGGUUUAUGUCUCGAACCGGGACUAAAGGCUCCUUACGGGCCGGGACCAAAGCCUUGUGGGCGGCAUUGCGAUUUUGGGGCGACGUGGCCGGGCCUUUAGUCCCGGCCCAGAUGGAGGCCGGGACUAAAGGGUCCAGGCCAAAGGCCCGUUUUCCACUAGUGAUUAUUCACAUAUGACAUUGUACUAUUUUUUUUAUUUGUUAUAAUGGAAAUCUUAGCUGAAAUUUUGAAUUAGAAAAUGCAAAGAAUCAAGUGUACCAUAUAUCUUCGAAAAUAUGUAACACUGUGUACAAAUAAGAAGGACACGUGCAACCAUCAUGAAAUAGUCGACCAACCCUUUGACAACCUUUGAAUAAACGAAUCAUGUAUGCUCGAUGAGUUCAAUUUGCAGCUGCAAUUGUGUGGAAGGGGACUAAUGGAAUGACAAUUGAAAAUUUGAGUAAAAUUAUAUUACUAUAUAGAAAUGAGGGAGGCCAGAGAGUGAAAAAUACAACCAUCAGGUAUAAGUUGCACAACUCUAGAGUAGUGUGACUAAAUGAAUCAUGUAUGCCCGAUGAGUUUGAUUUGUAUAGUAGUAAUUGUAUCGAAGUAGACCAAUGGAAUGACAAGCAAAAAAAAAAAUUGAAUCUGGUUUCAUUUCUGGGAAGAAAUGAGGAUGGCGAGAGAAAAAAUAGUGAGUAAAAAUAUCAAAUUAACUACGGAAAUAUGUUAGAGACAUCUGUGUAUAUUCACAUGUGUACAUGCAAAAUGCGGGAAAAAAAUACGAACUCAGUUGCCAAAAUUUGGUUUAUAUUCGAUGCAUCGUACCGUAUAAAAAAAUCAUUUGAUAUCUUAGAUGUAUUGACACGUAUGGAUUCAUUUGUAUAAAAGAAGAGUUGUGUGAGUAUAAAAGAAUCGAACUAAGGUACUCAUGAAUUGGCGAUCAUGAGCAUAGUUUUGGGACACCCAUAAAUGACAAUGAAACGAUAGAUAAUGAAGACUUUAAUAGAUUACACAUGUACUAAGAUUAGGUGCAAAAACAGGAGAAUAGUAGAAUCAAUCUGGAUGUGGUGUGCAACUCACAUAACAUAUUAAAUAUUAUAUUUGGUGGGAGUAAAGAUCUGACACAAAUGAAAAUCAUUUCAGGGGUGCAAUAAGUUGUCUCAGUUAUGCUUAAAGAUAUAAGUAUCAGAAAAACAUUUGUGCGUAUUUGUAUUGUAAACUAUAUAGGGGCAAGUGAAAUGAGAUAUUCUAGAAAAUUUCAGCGAAUGUUUCCAAGGGGGGGGGGGGGGGGGGAGCCAUGAGUAUGUGAAUCAUAAUUGCGUGAUUGUACAUCUAGUCCCCACCGUAGGGACUUAGGAUGUGUCUCAUUGAUAACUAAAUUUUCACAAGCAAGCAAGCAAAAUAGUAAUGUAACAUAUAUUGAGAAUCACAUAAAGAAAGCAAUAAUGAGACGUAAUUGGAGAUAAUGUUUUAAGGUUGUAAACACCACAUAUCCCGAGAAUGUAGUAUGAAUUAUUUGUAUCAUGCAUAAAAAGGUGAUAAGUAAUUUAUUUCAGGCAGACUGAAUUUGGAGUUCUCAAUUGUAUUUCUAAUUUAGAAUAUCCUCAUGAUUCAGUAUACUACAAUUAUGCAUUAUUUUAUACUCCCUCCGUUUCUAAAUAUAAGUCUUUUAAGAUAUUUCACUAGAAGUCUACAUACGGAGCAAAAUGAGUUAAUCUACAUUGUAAAGUAUGUCUAUAUGCAUCCGUAUGUAGUUCACUAAAGAAACCUCUUUAAAGUCUUAUAUUUAGGAACGGAGGGAGUACAAAUUUAUCGAUAAUGCUGAAUAUUUGAAUUAUCAACCAAUAUUUAUAUUAAUAGAAAACUCUAGCCGUGCAAAUGUGUGGGUAACUCCGUUAGUUAUACUAAUAAAAUAUGAUGCCAAUCACCAUGGGGCGUCGGCAGAUCGCAAUCCUUUACUCUGUCUAAUUUUAAAACUAAAUAGUAUAUGCAGUGGUUGAUGCCGGAAUGAAUCAAAUGAUGCGGAUAAUAGGUAAAUCCUCUGUUUUUAAAUAUAAGACCCUUUUACAGCUUAAUUUAGAAACAGAGGCAGUGCCAUUUUUGCCAUAAAGCGAAAGUUUGCACAAUAUUUUAAGUGUAUGGCGAUCAAGUGAACUGUCUAAUGGCCAAUGGGUACGAUGAUAAUGACUUGUGUGUACCUUGUCCCAAUCCACCUUUGUUAGGUGGCACAUAGUGGUCAUAAUUAUCUUCUUCCGUCCAAAAUAUGCAGCUGGUCAGUCAAGUGUUUACGUAAGGUUCCUUCAAUUAAGCUGUAGCACCUAGCAGGGAAACUAUACGUUUAUGAAAUUAUCUCCCAAGAAAAUUUACGAAUAAAAUUUUCGAGUAUCUAAUCUGAGGUUUCGUAAGUUUAUAAUAUUCAAGUAAAAAUUGAUUUACCCCUACAAGGGGAGAAAUCCUCACUUUUUUCCUUUUCAAUAUUAGGCAGUAGUAGGCAGAGAUGGUGAAUAUAAAGGUGGUGCAGGAUUUAGGUGUACGUGUUCAAAAAAUUCUUCUGAUCUCACUACUAGUAUUUCUCGACCAAGAAAUGUCGGUCAAGACAGGCUCACGUGGCAUGUUAAUUACUUAGUGGAGCAGAUAUGUAUUACAUUUUUAAAGAAGGAAACUUAAGAAGUUGGGCCAUCAAUUAAGUUCUAGCAGCCAGAUUGGUUGAUAGUACUUGACUUGUUCUAUUUGCUCACAUGCAAGUUCAUGCACAUCACCACACUGUUGCUUGCACCAGCUCUAUCAAUCUGCGGCUAUUUAAGCACACCCAUACAUGCCUCCAUUGACAAAGCAACUCACAAUGGCUUCUUCUUCCACAUUGUUUUGCCUUUCUGCCCUCCUUGUGCUGGCCUCAAGGCAGGCCACUGCCUACGAUCCUAGCCCUCUUCAAGAUUUCUGCAUCGCCGACAUGAAGGCGCCUGGUAUGCACUACGUAUAGUGUGCACGUAUAGAUGUGUGCCCUUAAUUCUAGUGGUGGUAUAGUUAAUGUUGUGAUAGCGUAGUACUGAUCACACAUUGAAGGUUACUACAUACUGAUAAUAGUUUUUUUUGUGUGGGGUACAUACUGAUAAUAGUUACAAAAGUAGUAUCACUACAUGCUCAAGCCACCCACACAUUUCUUACUUGCUUUAUGUUACUUUCUCUAUGCAUGCAGUGCGGGUCAAUGGAUUUGCUUGCAAGGACCCAAUGGCCGCAACCCCGGAAGACUUCUUCAACGCAGCCAUGCUCGAUCAGCCUAGGGAUACCAAGGCCAGCAAGGUCAGGUCCAACGUCACCAACAUCAAUGUCAUCAAUUUCCCUGGCCUCAACACCCUCGGCAUCUCCCUGGCACGCAUCGACUAUGGGCCAUUAGGUGUCAACACGCCGCACAUACACCCCCGUGCCACCGAGCUCCUCACGGUGCUUGAGGGGACACUCUACCUUGGAUUUGUCACAUCCAACCCAAACAGGCUCUUCUCCAAGAUAGUUAAGAAGGGUGAUGUAUUCGUAUUCCCAAAAGCAAUGAUUCACUUCCAAAUGAACCUGGCGCAUGACAAGCCAGCAGCCGCCUUGUCCUCGCUCAGCAGCCAAAACCCUGGGGUUAUUUCUAUCGCCAAUGCAGUCUUUGGAUCAAAGCCACCAAUUUCAGAUGAUGUUCUAGCCACGGCGUUUCAGGUGGAGAAGGAUCUGAUUCACUGGCUUCAAUCUCAGUUCUGGGAGAAUAACAACUACUAGAUACUCUCUUUCAUCUGGGCAUAUGGAAAGUUCAUAUGUAAUGCUAGUAUAUAGAAUAAAUGGCAUGUAAUAAUACGUAUGCAUGCAUGGUUGUGAGCUGUGUUUUCAUU